Molecule: long non-coding RNA, 56556 nt
Filed under: Capsicum annuum
Lineage: Eukaryota; Viridiplantae; Streptophyta; Magnoliopsida; Solanales; Solanaceae
Description: long non-coding RNA (CANN_LNC012977)
Source: RNAcentral
UUUUUUUUUUUUUGAAAGUAUUGAAAUUUGUUUUAAAGAUAAGCAGUUAUGUGUUUAAAUAAAAGUGCUGAAAUUGAAAAAAAUUAUUGAUGCAUUUGAUAAACAAUUGUUGUUAAGUAUUUUUUUUGUCAAAAUGUCUGAAAUACCCUUAAAGUUGUUAACAAUAUCUAGAGUUAAUUAUUAUUAAUUUUUAUUUCUAAAAUGAUUUAAAUUAAAAUUAAUAUAGAUUUUUAAUUUAGUUUCAAUAUAUAUAUUCACGAAUGACUAUUAAAUUUGUGCGCUAAAAAACCUUUUUUCUUGGUUAAAAGAGUUUAAAUCAUCAAGCAAUAUAUAUAUAUAUAUUACUAAUCAUUAUAAUUAUAUUAAUAAUUAAAUAGUUGGUCACAAAUGAUACUAUUUGUUUGAUACCAAUCAAGCCAAGGAUACACUUGUUCUGGGUUAUUUUUGAGGAAAAAAAAAGUGUUAUGUAAUAAAAGAGAAUUAGGCUACAAGGAUAAAUUUGGAAUAUUGAAUUAUAAGGGACAUAAUUGUUAUUUUGUAAGGAUGAAAAUUAUAUAAGUAUGAUAAGGUGUAUGUUUAUGGUGGUUGUUUUUUUCCUGUUGGUUUUACUAUUUCUCUCUCUUUAGCAACAACCCAUAGGCUUUUCUAGCGAGGAAGAGUAUGAGGACAUUUUUGUGGAUAACUUGGGCUUUCUCCUGGGCACCCGAUAGAUUCCUCAAUUUAUUGUGCAUGAUCAUGAUGUGACUUACAUAUCUCUUAUCACCAAUUCAACAACAACAACAACAACAAAUCCAGUGUAUUCCCACUUAGUGGGGUCUGGGGGGGUAAGAUGUACGCAGUCCAUACCUCUACCUCUGAUGAAGUAGAAAGGCUGUUUCCGAAAGACCCCCGGCUCAAGUCACGAGAUAUCACACAAACACAUAGUAAAGCACAGAAGCAGAUGACAUAACAUAGAUACGGCACCCAUAAGGAAUAUAAAACAGAGUAAAGCAGGAAUGCAGGGCACACAGAUUCGUAAUAAACAUGGAACACGGAACACGGAACACUGAAUACGGGAUCAUAACAGGAAUACACCCCCCCAAUUAAUUCCCUACCCUAGCGACCCGAACUGGCCCUAAUCCUCUGCCGUAAUUCGCAUCUUCCAGACCUUCCUAUCUAGGGUCAGGUACAUAAAUAAUCACAAUGUUUGAUAUGACUGUCUUUGCUUGAAUUGACUCUUAAAGUCGCAAAUUAUAUGUCAAGCACUAAUGAAUGGGCUGAGAAAAGACAGAAAGGGAGGGGUAUCAACUUUUAUCAUGUUUUCAUGAUAAGUGUAGUAGUAUCAAAUAGGCUUACUUCUAUCUGCCUUUAGUGGAAUAUAAAUUAGUGAAAUCAGACUUUCUAAAAAAGACCUACUUAAUGUAAGAUGCAUUCUAAAAAGACUGCUCAUUGUAUAUUGCAUUGGUGGGAGAUGCAAAGAUAAGCAGCCAGUGCAACUAGAUGAUAGGUAUAUAGCAGUCCAUAGCAAGCAUAAUAUUUGAUAUGAAAUUCGAGAACACUGGUCCAAAACAUAGAUUGUUGCCAAUAGUAAAGCAAAAGAAGGGUACUAGGUACUAAUAGCUGUGAGGCUAUUAUCAUGCAAGUACAGAAAUUGUCUACUGAUAAGUCUGUAAAUCUGUUCUGAGGCAGUUCAUUUCUUUUAAACCAUGAUAGCCAGUCGCCACACUUCUUAUUUCUCUUGGGAAGUUUCAGGCUUCUCGCUUCUGAUGUACCCUAGCUCAAUCAUCGCCUCCUUCAAGUCCCACUUUUUUUUUUUUUNNNNNNNNNNNNNNNNNNNNNNNNNNNNNNNNNNNNNNNNNNNNNNNNNNNNNNNNNNNNNNNNNNNNNNNNNNNNNNNNNNNNNNNNNNNNNNNNNNNNNNNNNNNNNNNNNNNNNNNNNNNNNNNNNNNNNNNNNNNNNNNNNNNNNNNNNNNNNNNNNNNNNNNNNNNNNNNNNNNNNNNNNNNNNNNNNNNNNNNNNNNNNNNNNNNNNNNNNNNNNNNNNNNNNNNNNNNNNNNNNNNNNNNNNNNNNNNNNNNNNNNNNNNNNNNNNNNNNNNNNNNNNNNNNNNNNNNNNNNNNNNNNNNNNNNNNNNNNNNNNNNNNNNNNNNNNNNNNNNNNNNNNNNNNNNNNNNNNNNNNNNNNNNNNNNNNNNNNNNNNNNNNNNNNNNNNNNNNNNNNNNNNNNNNNNNNNNNNNNNNNNNNNNNNNNNNNNNNNNNNNNNNNNNNNNNNNNNNNNNNNNNNNNNNNNNNNNNNNNNNNNNNNNNNNNNNNNNNNNNNNNNNNNNNNNNNNNNNNNNNNNNNNNNNNNNNNNNNNNNNNNNNNNNNNNNNNNNNNNNNNNNNNNNNNNNNNNNNNNNNNNNNNNNNNNNNNNNNNNNNNNNNNNNNNNNNNNNNNNNNNNNNNNNNNNNNNNNNNNNNNNNNNNNNNNNNNNNNNNNNNNNNNNNNNNNNNNNNNNNNNNNNNNNNNNNNNNNNNNNNNNNNNNNNNNNNNNNNNNNNNNNNNNNNNNNNNNNNNNNNNNNNNNNNNNNNNNNNNNNNNNNNNNNNNNNNNNNNNNNNNNNNNNNNNNNNNNNNNNNNNNNNNNNNNNNNNNNNNNNNNNNNNNNNNNNNNNNNNNNNNNNNNNNNNNNNNNNNNNNNNNNNNNNNNNNNNNNNNNNNNNNNNNNNNNNNNNNNNNNNNNNNNNNNNNNNNNNNNNNNNNNNNNNNNNNNNNNNNNNNNNNNNNNNNNNNNNNNNNNNNNNNNNNNNNNNNNNNNNNNNNNNNNNNNNNNNNNNNNNNNNNNNNNNNNNNNNNNNNNNNNNNNNNNNNNNNNNNNNNNNNNNNNNNNNNNNNNNNNNNNNNNNNNNNNNNNNNNNNNNNNNNNNNNNNNNNNNNNNNNNNNNNNNNNNNNNNNNNNNNNNNNNNNNNNNNNNNNNNNNNNNNNNNNNNNNNNNNNNNNNNNNNNNNNNNNNNNNNNNNNNNNNNNNNNNNNNNNNNNNNNNNNNNNNNNCUUCUCUUCUUCGUCCUUACUUCCUACCAAAUUAGCAUACGCCUCUUUCUUGGUCUCCACUUUCUUCCCCACCUCUUCAUUCCACCACCAAUCCCCCCGAUGAUGUCCGGCCCAGCCCCUAGAAACACCCAACACCUCCUUUGCAUUCUCCCUGAUGCACGUUGCCGCCCUGUCCCACAUAUUAUCCACGUCCCCCCUACACUCCCACACCCCCAUUCCCGCCAACCUCUCCCCUAUCUCCCACGCAUUCACUGGCGUCAAGCCGCCCCACUUAAUUCUCUUAUCACCAAUUAUUUAAUAGAAAAAAAAUACUCAUCUUUUUAAAUAUUUUAUGUGUUACAAUAAAGAUAUUCAGUAAAAAAAUUAUAAAGUUAAAGAACAUUUGUAAGAGCUACAAAAUCAAAUCUCUUCUACUUAACACAUUCAAUGAGAGGGGUGGACGUUCAGACCGUUCGGUUUGAAUGUUUGAUUUACGAAUUAAAAAAAUUACGUGUAUUGGAUUGGAUUCAAAGUUCAAUUUUGGAUUAAUCAAUUUGGAUAUUUUAGAUUUACAAUGUUGAUUUUUAAAGCUUUUAAGGCAGACCAUAACAAUUAAUAAUUCAUCAAUCAACCUAAUAAUUUAUUCCUUAUGUAUAACUUUCAACCAUCAAGAAGGAUUCAGGUCAUCCUACCACCCCUUUCAAUAUUGGAAUCAGAACUAUAAUGGAUAGGGUAGGGUGGGAGGGUACUAAUUUAUUAAAUCUUUAGAAAUUUGACUUACAAGUAGUAGAGACAUGUAAUAUGGGUAAAGCUGAAUAUAAGGCAUAAAAAUUUCGGAUUUCCGGGUAGCCGAAAGCAUAGUACUAAAACCAAUAUAUCCACAAAUUUUUAAAUAAUAAAAAAAAUCCAAAGUCCAAUCCCUACUCGAAAUCUAAACCAAAUGACCAAAAAGUUUGGAUUUCGGGUCAGCCCAAGCUAGAGCCACCCCACAUAAAUAUGAGUAUAUAAUCCGAUAGUUGACAUCAAAUUAUAACAUUUACCUUAAACUUUGACAGUGUACAAGUAGACCUUUUAACUAUACAAAACCUAAAUAAAUAAACACUCCGAUUUUUCUACGUGGAUAUGUAAUCCAAUCAUACGAUGUCACGUCAUUAAAAGAGCUGAUAUGGGAGGACUUUUGCCUUUCAAUUAAAACAACGUCGUUUUGCUUCUAUCAAUUAAAAAGACGUCGUUUUGCUUAUUAUUAUUAUUAUUAUUAUUAUUAUUAUUAUUAUUAUUAUUAUUAUUAUUAGUAUUAUUAUACUACUUCUACUUAUUAUUANNNNNNNNNNNNNNNNNNNNNNNNNNNNNNNNNNNNNNNNNNNNNNNNNNNNNNNNNNNNNNNNNNNNNNNNNNNNNNNNNNNNNNNNNNNNNNNNNNNNNNNNNNNNNNNNNNNNNNNNNNNNNNNNNNNNNNNNNNNNNNNNNNNNNNNNNNNNNNNNNNNNNNNNNNNNNNNNNNNNNNNNNNNNNNNNNNNNNNNNNNNNNNNNNNNNNNNNNNNNNNNNNNNNNNNNNNNNNNNNNNNNNNNNNNNNNNNNNNNNNNNNNNNNNNNNNNNNNNNNNNNNNNNNNNNNNNNNNNNNNNNNNNNNNNNNNNNNNNNNNNNNNNNNNNNNNNNNNNNNNNNNNNNNNNNNNNNNNNNNNNNNNNNNNNNNNNNNNNNNNNNNNNNNNNNNNNNNNNNNNNNNNNNNNNNNNNNNNNNNNNNNNNNNNNNNNNNNNNNNNNNNNNNNNNNNNNNNNNNNNNNNNNNNNNNNNNNNNNNNNNNNNNNNNNNNNNNNNNNNNNNNNNNNNNNNNNNNNNNNNNNNNNNNNNNNNNNNNNNNNNNNNNNNNNNNNNNNNNNNNNNNNNNNNNNNNNNNNNNNNNNNNNNNNNNNNNNNNNNNNNNNNNNNNNNNNNNNNNNNNNNNNNNNNNNNNNNNNNNNNNNNNNNNNNNNNNNNNNNNNNNNNNNNNNNNNNNNNNNNNNNNNNNNNNNNNNNNNNNNNNNNNNNNNNNNNNNNNNNNNNNNNNNNNNNNNNNNNNNNNNNNNNNNNNNNNNNNNNNNNNNNNNNNNNNNNNNNNNNNNNNNNNNNNNNNNNNNNNNNNNNNNNNNNNNNNNNNNNNNNNNNNNNNNNNNNNNNNNNNNNNNNNNNAUAACGUUAAUUUAAUAUACUACUACUACUAUCAUUAAUAACAUUAAUUUAAUAAUAUUUUAUUAUAACUAUAAUUUUUUAUUAUUAUUAGUAUAGUUUCAUCUUUAAUUUAAUAUUUAAAUAAAUUAUAUUUAGAUAUAUUAUAUAACUUAAAUUCUUCCUCUGCUUAUAUAGAUACUCGCGCUAUUUUUCCAUAUGAGGCUGACCCACCUAAUUAAGAAAACUUCAAUAUUGCUCUUUUUCUGCAAUGACAAAAGAAAUUAGAUGUUAUUAUCAUCAAUGAGCUGAAAAUAAUGAAAAAUAAUACAGAAAAGUCAUUUAAAUAUAUAAAAAGGAAUUAGUAAGGGCAUUAUAGUUAUUUUAUCAAUUUUUUACCGUUGAAAGGCUCGGAUUUAAAGCUGAACGCGUGACAUUUUGCCACCUAGGAUUGGGGUGUUUAUUUGUUCAGGUUUUGAAUUGUUAAAGGUCCUAUUUAUGCACUAUCAAAUUUAAGGUCAAUGUUAUAAUUUGGUGUCAAGUUUAGAGUGAUAUUUAUGUAUUUAUAUGUAUUAUGCCUUCACAAAAUCUUAAAAUCUUAUAUGAAGGCAUCAUGUCAAUCCAAUAAUAUACUAGCUGUAAGCAAUAAAAUAUUAUUUGCACAAAAUUCAUAUAAUAUUAAAAUUAAAAUAUAUUAAUCUCAAAUAAAUGUUGGAUAUUAAUAUAAUUGAAUUAAUUAUUUGAGUUCAAACAUGCAUGGAUUUAAUUAAAGUCCAAUUGUUAUUGGGCUAGUCCAUUAAUUUGGGCUAGAGAUAACUAAGCCCACUUUAGCAAGCCCAAGAUGUCAUCAUAUGCUAGAAGCCCAAUUUGAUGCCACAUGUCAAAUGACAUGGCAUGCCAAGUGAAGUGAAUAAGCCAAAGGGACCACGCCACGUGUCAAAAUGAUGCAGUAAAUGAAAAGCCCAUAAGAAAUGUCAUGUCACUUAAAUCUGAUUGGUCAAAGGAAGUUCAUGUUUAUCAUGACUCUCUACUUCCUACAACUAUAAAUAGGGGCCGCAUAAUUCAAAAAAAAAAAAAAACAAGUUUAACAAGAAGCAAGAGAGAGCUCAUGGAUCAAAGCAGCAGAUUUCUCUACAAAUUCAAGAAUUCAAGAUCAGUUCAUCAAGAUUCAAGAUCAAGAGUUCAAGGUUCAAGAACAAGCUCAAGAUUUCAAGAUCAAGAGUUCAAGGUUCAAGAACAAGCUCAAGCUUUAAGAUCAAGACUUCAAGAUUCAAGAACAAGCUCAAAGACCCUUGAAUUCAAGUACAAAUCGAGAUCAAGCUCACCAAACCCGCAAAUCAAGCUCAAGUUCAAGAUCAAGACCGCAAGAUUCAAGAACAAGCUACUAAGCCCUUGGAUUCAAGCACAAGUCAAAAUCAAAUUCGUCAAGUUAAAGUUAAAGUUCAAGAUCAAGCUUGAAGCCCUUUAAUUUAUAAUUGAAAAGGUGAAUCAGAGGAAUCAUAAAGAUUGUAACACUCACUUAUUGAAAUCAAUAAAUCGAUUGUUGCAAUGUUUUCUUGUCUCAAUUAUUAUUUUCGAUCUUGAGAAUUUUAUUGUCCAACAAAUUUUGGCACGCCCAGUGGGACGAUCUCUACCUCUCAUCUUAACUUUUCAUACUUCAAAGUUUAAAAACAACGAAAUGACUUUCAAUAAGGUCAAUUCUCAAUCAACUGCUUCCGAGUCUGCAGAUUCAAAGUUCUCUGCUGAAGUAAAAAACAUCCUUGGUGUUACUUUCGGAAGCCUCGAAGCUAUCACAAGAAGCAGGGCAGGCUUGCUUGGACAACAAACACAUCCAGUGUCAUCCGCUCCAGCUUUAAUUUUUGGAUCUUCAACCUCGAAAGGAACGAAGUCCAAUGUAAGUGCUUCAAAAGGAGGAAGCAGUGUGGCCGAAUUGCUGAAAAAGACUCUAGAUUUACUUGAGUAUUUCGGUUACAAAUACUCUGGAUCCAAGAGCGAUAGUCGUUCAACAAAUGCGUCAUCUCCACUUACACCACAUAAGCUAAGCACUUAAAAAAUCAACUUAUGUGAUAAUCCGUGUUACUCUCCAACAUCUCUGGUGAUCAUGCAAGCAAUGGUAACUGAUGCCUCGUCUAUGGAGGAACAACUUGCGAAUCUGACAAAGAUAAUUGAAGCCCUGACCAACUAUGUUCAGUAUCAAGAGGCUAGGAUUGAUAAGAUAGUGGAUAGGGUGAAAGGCUCGAUAGAUGGAGAAUCUAACCAUGUGCCGAGAAAAGCUCCAGAGGUUCAUGAGAUAGAAAAACCUGUGAAACAAACAUCAUCAACCAAAGAGGUGCAAGUUUCUGCUGAGGAAAUGAUCCCGAUUGGGCAAUUGAGGGAAUUUAUUGAAGGGACCCUCAAAGACAAGUAUGAUGUUGUCACCAAUUAUUCCCUUGCAUAUGCCAACCCUUACACUGCAAGAAUAGAUAGCCUCAAAAUGCCUGCUGGCUAUCAACCCCCCAAAUUUUAACAAUUUGAGGGCAAAGGUAACCCAAAACAACAUGUCGCACACUUUGUCGAGACAUAUAAUAAUGUUGGAGCUUACGGUGACUAUCAUGUCAAACAGUUAGUUCGUUCUCUAAAGGGAAACGUCUUUGAUUGAUAUACAGAUCUUAAGCCUAACUUCAUUGAUAGUUUGGAGUAAUUGGAACACGAGUUCCUAAAUCGGUUUUAUAGCACAAGACGUUCAAUAGCAUGAUAGAGCUGACAAAUACUCGAUAAAGAAAGGAUGAGCCGGUCAUAUACUUCAUCAAUCGAUGGAGAAAUGCGAGUCUAAACUGUAAAGAUAGGCUCAGUGAAGCUUCUGCAAUAGAGAUGUGCAUCCAAGGAAUGCACUGGGGGCUUCUCUACAUCUUGCAAGGAAUUAAACCAAAAUCCUUUGAAGAGUUAGCUACUUGUGCUCAUGACAUGGAGUUGAGCAUGUCUUCUGCUGGAAAGGAAGGAACACCUAUUCAUGACCCUCGAAGGGGAAAGAAAAAGCAAAAACCCAAAAGAUGGGGCAAGUUUGUUCCCAAAAAUGAAAACAAGGAGUCCAUGAAUAUUGAUGUGUCUCCUGUGAAGGUCACCACAAAGGUGAACAAGAAGCAAAGUGUGAAAAUAACAUCUGGAGCAUGUCCAAAUCAGAAAACUUUAAAGGAGAUGCAAGAAAAGGAAUAUCCCUUCCUUGAUUCUGAUGUUGCAGAGAUUUUCGAUGAACUCCUUGAGCAUAAGCUCAUUGAACUCCCAGAGAUGAAGCGUCCCAACGAAGCAGGAAGGACCAAUGACCCUAAUUAUUGCAAAUAUCAUAGGCUUUUAAGUUAUCCUCUGGAAAAAGUUCUUUGUCUUUAAAGAUAAAGUCAUAUAACUGGCAAAAGAAAAGAAGAUCUUCUUUGACGAUGAGACUGGUAGUUCUCAUCAAAUCUUUAUUACUUUUGGCUUGCUCGACCCAGUUCAAAUAUGUGUCGAAGAGCAUAAUGAGAAAAUAUUAGAGCCUGACAGGUCUUCAGUUGACGAAGGCAAUAAUGAAGGUUAAACUCUGGUGACGAGGCGCGGACGCAGGAGGAUGAGUCUGCGAAAAGAGUCGUCCAAGCAGCCAACCAGAAAGAGAAUGGUAAAGAAACCAAGGAAACAGAAGUUGGUUGAAUUCACAAAGAAGACGACGGUGAAGAAGCUUUACCACCAAAAACCUCGGCAUCUUAUGACUUUAGAGGAAUUCUUACCAAGUUGGUUUCAGUCUGCCCAAGUCAACCUUGAGGCGUCUUAUUUUAAUACUGCCAAAGCGAAAGCAAAGGGUGAGAAUCUACCCAUAGAGGUUCCUUCACCUUCCGAAAAGCUUACUAAAACUCUUGGCGAAGAGGCAUAUAUGUGUGAUACAAAAAUCACAUUCACAAAUAACGACCUUCUGCUUUGUGAGGCCCUACAUAACCGUCCCUUAUAUAUGGUGGGUCAAAUUCUAGGAAAGAAGAUCAAUAGAAUCUUGAUAGAUGAGGGAUCUGGAGUCAACAUCUUGCCUAUCGCACAAUGGAGGAACUUGACAUCGCUACUAGCGAAUUAGAUGAAAGUCGUAUAAUGAUCCAAGGCUUCAACCAAGGGGGUCAGAUGGCCAUGAGAUGUAUCAAAUUGGGGAUUCGUAUGGAUGAUUUUCAAUCAAAUCUAUUGGUGCAUGUAAUCGAUGCCAAAACUUUAUACAAUAUAUUGGUUGGUAGGCCUUGGGUGCACGGGAACAAAAUUAUCUCGUCUUCUUACUAUCAAUGCUUGAAGUACCUCGAAGGCGGAGUGAAAAUAAAGAUAGUUGCCGAUGAUAAGCCAUUUACUGAAGCUGAGUCAAAUUUUGCCGAUGCAAAAUUCUACUUAAAGAAUCAUGUUAUGGAUGACAAAAGGGUUGAUGCUGUCACCAAUACCAAGUGUGAUGAUCUUUCAGCCAAUAAUGUCGUGGUGACUAUUGAAAAGGUCGCCACCAAGAAGCCUCUAUCUACUUCAAAUGAAGAAAGCGUCGCCCUUAUGAAAAAAAAGGCAACUCCUAUUCUUCGCUACGUGCCAAAUGUAAAGAAAGAGAAAGAUCACCCAUCUGAUGCUCAAGAUAAUGUGCUAAAUGGGAUAACUUUACCUAUUAGGAGGAUUGACGCGAUAAAUCCAUCCUCAAGGCUAGCUGUGGCUCAAAACCCGCCACAAGAUAUAACACUCCCUACGAAGCGGACAAAGGAGGGCUUCAACCCAAAAACAUACAAAUUAUUUGUAAAGGCUGGAUAUAAUCCUAAUGAGCCAUCAAGGUUAGGUAAACUUCCAUUGGAAGGUACAACAAAGUAGGAACAUGAAGGCAUAGGAUACACACAACCACCUCCAAUUCGCAUAUCGAUAAGAAGGACGGUUAGUAACUACAUCACUGUAAAAGAGGAGUCUACCGCAUCCAACAAAAGGCCUUCUAUAUUUGAUCAACUUGGAGAAUCAACCGAAAGAACUUUUGUAUUUAAGAGUUUGGGUCCUCUAAAUAAGAAGAGAAGUAACAAGCAUCAGAAAAGUUAUUAAAAUAUGACAGUACACUCCUUACCUAAGAUUCAGAAGGAUUUCUAAAGUUUGAUUCCUUCUAGAAUGAAGCGACAGACAAAACUGGUAGUUUCAUACAACAAGGUGUUAAAAGCAAAGGCUCAUACUGUGGUUUAUACCAAGGAACAUGAGGAAGAUGAAGAAAGUGUUGGCUCCUCAUACCAUGUUACGGCCCAGAAUGAGAAUGAGGCCUCAUCUCAAAUAAAGGUUGAUGAAGAGAUGGAAGAUACUUUUUGGUGUCACCACAUAUCCAUCAACGAUGAUGAUCCUCAAGAGGAAGAAGAUGUUGGAGAUACUCCACCUCAACUUUAAUAAGGAGUGAAGGCCACAAUAGAUCCCUUGAAAUGAGUUAACCUUGGAACUGAUGAACACCCAAGACUAACUUACUUGAGUGUUUUUCUAGAGAUGAAGGAAGAAAUCGCGUAUAUGAAUAUACUCAAAGAAUAUAUGGAUGUCUUCACUUGGAGUUAUAAGGAAAGGCAUGGCUUAGAUCCGAAAGUAGCGGGCCAUCAGUUGGCGAUCAAGAAUGGUGCUCGUCUUGUUAAACAAGAUCAAAGGCGCUUUAGGCCAGAGUUGGUUCCAUUGAUUGAAAAUGAAGUUAAAAAACUCAAUGAAGAUAACUUUAUUCGUGAAGUUAAAUAUCCCACGCGGAUUUCAAGUAUUAUUCCAGUACGAAAGAAGAAUGGCCAAAUUUGAAUUUGUGUUGACUUUUAAGAUCUCAACAAUGCAUGUCCUAAGGAUGAUUUCCCAAUCCCCAUACCAGAGUUGAUGAUUGAUGCCACCAUUGGUUAUGAGGCAAUGUCCUUCAUGGAUGGUUCAUUCGGUUACAACCAAAUCCGCAUGGAGUCAAAAAAUGAAAUGCUCACUGCAUUUCGUACGCCCAAAGGUAUUUAUUUCUACAAGGUGAUGCCUUUUGGUUUAAAGAACGCUAGCGCCACUUAUCAAAGGGCUAUGCAAAAAAUCUUUGAUGGGCUACUCCACAAGAAUAUUGAAUGCUACGUGGAUGAUCUAGUGGUGGAGUCAAGAAAGAGAGAUAACCACUUAAAAGUUCUAAGAAUGGUGUUCAAGUUACUUUGAAGAUAUCAACUUAGGAUGAAUCCAUUGAAGUGUGCCCUCGGAGUUACUUCCGAAAAGCUUCUUGGCUUCAUUGUGCGACACUGCGGAAUUGAAAUUAAUCAAGACAAGGUCGAUGCAAUUUUAAAGAUGCCCGAGCCUCGAAACAUUCAUGAGUUAAAAAGCCUUCAAGGAAGGAUAACAUAUUUAAGGAGGUUCAUCUCAAACUUAGCCGAAAAAUGUCAACCAUUUAGCCAUCUCAUAAAGAAGGACACUCCCUUCAAAUGGGACUAAACUUGUAGUAAUGUCUUUGAGAGUAUCAAAUCAUACUUAAAGAAGCCACCAGUUCUUGCGGCGCCCAUACCUGGGAAACCACUGAUACUCUAUAUCGCGGCAUAAGAAAGGUCAUUCGAAACACUAUUAGCUCAAGAAAAUAGAGAAGGCAAAAAAAAAACUCUCUGUACUAUUUGAGCAGAAUGAUAACACCAAAUGAGUUGAAAUAUUCUCCGAUCGAAAAUUUAUGUCUGGCAUUAGCAAACACUACUUUUAAGCUCACGUUGUUCGUUUUGUGUCCAACGCAAAUCCCAUCAAGUUUGUGAUGUCGAAACUAGUCCUCAGUGACCGACUUGCAAGGUGGUACCUCCAAUUUUAGCAGUUUGAGAUCGUGUACAUCCCCCAAAAGGCUAUAAAAGGACAAGAAAUGGCUGACUUCAUGGCAGAUCACCCAAUACCUGAUGACUGGGAACUGAGCAAUGAACUUCUUGAUAAAGAUGCAAUGGCUGUUGAAGUUAGAUCCCCAUGGAAGAUGUACUUUGAUGGUGCUGCACAUCGAGAUGGAGCUGGUGCUGGCGUAGUGUUUAUCACUCCACAAGAAGAGGUCAUCCCCUACUCUUUUACCUUGAUGAAUCAUUCCUCCUAUAAUGUUGCCGAGUAUCAAGCGAUCAUACUCGGGCUAGAGAUAGCUAUCGACAUGAAGCAACUGCAAUUACAAGUUCUUGGUGACUCCCAAUUGGUGAUAAAAUAGUUGUUGGGAAGUUAUGAAGUCAGGAAGCCUGAGUUAAGACCAUAUCAUGAUUAUGCACGAAAUUUGAUGAGAUGGCUUGGAGAAGUAACCCUCCAGCAUGUGCCAAGGAAAGAAAAUAAGCAAGCUGAUGCCCUAGCUGCUUUGGCCUCAACUCUAACUCUUCCAAAUUAGACACGAGUUAUUAUCCGCCAAAAUGGGUAGUACCACUAUCAAAUGAGGAUGGGGACAUAAAAGGUAGGGUUGAAUACCUCGUCGUCGUUUCCAAAGCUGUAAAGAAAAAUUGGUGGCAACCUAUCAUCGACUACCUGUGUUAUGGAAUACUUCCAAAAGAUCCAAGGAGAAAGACUGACAUUCGUCGUUGUGCACCUCGCCUCCUUUACUACAAAGACACACUGUACAAAAGAUUAUUUGAAGGAGUACUCUUACGGUGUUUGGCAGAGGAAAAAACAAUCUAAGCCUUGAAAAAAGCACACUCGGAAGUUUGUGGAUCACAUCAGUCUGGACCAAAGCUCCAUUUUCACAUUAAAAGAAUGGGAUAUUAUUGGCCAACGAUAGUAAAAGAUUGCUUGGAAUAUGCUAGAAGAUGCAAAGCUUGCCAAUUCCAUGCAAAUUUCAUACAUCAACCUUCAGAGGUACUACACCCAACAGUAGCAUCUUGGCCAUUCAAUGCUUAGGGAAUGGAUAUUAUUGGUCCACUACUAAAAUCUUCUGCUGGACACCUAUACAUCUUGGCCACAACAGAUUACUUCUUGAAAUAGGCUGAAGCUAUUGCUCUCAAGGAAGUAAAAAAAAAUAUUGCAAACUUUAUCCGAGCAAAUAUCGUCUACCGCUUUGGAAUUCCUCAAUAAAUAAUAACUGAUAAUGGAAAGCCAUUUGAUAAUAAGCUGAUGAACAAAAUCUGUUAUCUCUUUGGUUUCAAGCAACGCAAGUCUUCUAUGUACCAUGUUGCCGCCAAUGGUCUAGCCGAAGCGUUCAAUAAGACUUUAUGAAACUUACUGAAGAAAGUUAUCUCCAAAUCCAAACGAGACUGGUAUGAGCGAAUGAAAGAAGCUUUAUGGGCUUAUAGGACAACUUACCAUACACCGACGCAAGCAACCCCAUACUCAUUUGCUUUUGGAGUUGAAGCAGUCCUGCCACUUGAGCGUCAAAUACUUUCUUUGAGAUUGGCUAUUCAGGAAGGGCUCACCGAUGAAGAAAAUGCUAAGUUGCGUCUUAGGGAGUUAAAAGCUCUUGAUGAGAAGAGACUGGAGGCUCAACAAAAUCUUGAAUGUUACCAAGCCCGGUUAUCUCGUUCUUUCAACAAAAGGGUUCGCUUAAGGUGCUUUCAAGUUGGAGAUCAAGUCCUUGCAGUAAGAAGACCCAUUAUCACUUUUCGUAAGUCUGGAGGCAAAUUCACCCCGAAGUGGGAUGGACCCUAUGUUGUACAAGAGGCAUAUUCAAAUGGAGCUUACAAGCUUGUCGAUGCAGAUGGUGUGAGGAUUGGCCCCAUCAAUGCCAAGUUCUUGAAGAAGUACUGUCCUUGAAGGAAGAUAACACUCCUUAAGGCACGAAUAUAAACUGCAUGUCCACUUCUGGCUCUCAAGAGUAUAAACUGUGAACGGAUUAAAAAUAAAAUGUCCGCUAGGUUGAAAACCUCGAAAGAGGCGGCCCAGGCAAAAGUUAGGAUGCAAAAUAAAUAAAUAAAUAAAAGGAAAAAAUAAAUAAAACAUUCACCCCAGAACUACGUUGUGACUUGAUCCUCUUCAUUGAGUUACGUAGGCGCUUGAAAUUUUAUUCUAAGUUCAGUUGCAUGAGUGUCAAAAAAAAAUAUAUGUUCCUCAUAUAAAAAAAUUCAGUCUUCAAGAGUCUUUUAACUUUAUAAAUCUCUAGACUUACAUCUCAAGUGUUGGUGACUCAAUGGGGGCAAACCCCUAUGAAGUAUAAGAUCCUUUGACAUAAAUUGAAGUCUUCAGAUUCACUAAGUCUUCAUGUUGGAGCUUUCAAGUUACCAUAUUGGAGCCUGUAAGUUCACUAAGUCUAAUAGUUAAAGUCUUCAAAUGACUUAUGCGUAUAAGUUAAAGUCUUUAAAUUUACUAAGUCUUCAUGUUGGAGCUUUCAAGUUACCAUAUUGGAGCCUGUAAGUUCACUAAGUCUAAUAGUUAAAGUCUUCAAAUGACUUAUGCGUAUAAGUUAAAGUCUUUAAAUUUACUAAGUCUUCAUGUUGGAGCUUUCAAGUUACCAUAUUGGAGCCUGUAAGUUCACAAAGUCUGAUAGUUGAAGUCUUUAAAUGACCUAUGCAUAUAGGUUGAAAUCUUCAAAUUCACUAAGUCUUCAUGUUGGAGCUUUCAAGUUACCAUAUUGGAGCCUGUAAGUUCACAAAGUCUGAUAGUUGAAGUCUUUAAAUGGCCUAUGCAUAUAGGUCGAAGUUUUCAAAUUCACUAAGUCUUCAUGUUGGAGCUUUCAAGUUACCAUAUUGGAGCCUGCAAGUUCACGAAGUUUGAUAGCUGAAGUCUUCAAAUGACCUAUGCAUAUAAGUUGAAGUUUUCAAGUCUGCCAUAUUGAACCUUUUAGAGUUUGAAAGUUGGAGUCAUCGGGUUCUUUGAUCUAUAAGUUGAAGUUUUUAAAUCCUUCAAGCCUUCUUGAGUUUACCUUCCAAUCUUCAUGAAAUUACCUUUUCUUAUGGCGGGGACGAAUAGUCACCCCUAUGCGCCAUAAGAUUACCAUAACGUUACCUUUUCUUAUGGCAGGGACGAAUAAGUCGUCCCUGUGCGCCGUAAGAUUACCACAAAGUUACCUUUUCUUAUGGCGGGGAUGAGUAGUCAUCCCAAUGUGCCAUAAGAUUACCAUAAAGUUACCUUUUACCUUUAUCAUAAGACUACCAUGAAGUUACCUUUUACCUUUUUCAUAAGACUACCAUGAAGUUACCUUUUUCCUUUUGUCAUAAGACGACCAUAAAGUUACCUUUUACCUUUUUUCUUAAGACUACCAUAAAUUUACCUUUUACCUUUUCUUAUGGUGGGGACGAGUAGUCAUUCUUAUGGCGUAAGAUUAUCAUGAAAUUACAUUUCUUAUGGCGGGAAUGAGUCGCACCAUGUGGUUAUAGCCUUUGCGUAAGAAAUAUUAUCUUAAGCAAAAGCUCGUCAUUCACCUACAAAAAGAUAGAAGAAAAAGAGAGAAAGGAAGUGUGUAAAGAAAGGACAAAAAAAUAUACCUUGCAUUUUAUGCUCGUUGACCCGAGAUGAAGCUACUGUGGAAUGUCUGAAAAAAAAUUUGCUUGUAGGGAACAACACAAGAUUAUGAAAGUUAAAAGUGAACAAACUGCAUUUAUAAGGGCAAAUAGGGCGGUGGAGGCAAUCACAGAUUAAAUAGAAUUAGGAGAAGAAUUAAGGGGGCUCCGAUAAAAUUGGAACAAACAAAAAGACGCCACUACCUAUGAAGUGAAUAAGGAAUUGCCAAGAAAGACAAUAUGCCACCUGAAUGUGCAAAAGAAGUGAAAGAAAAGUCAAAGCCCCAUUUUUUUUAAUUUUCAGAUGCAUGCAUUGGUUCAUGACUUUUUUUAUAUCAAUUAAUACUUCAAGUCUAGUCAAAGAUCUCGACAAGUCUUAAAGUAGGGGCACUUUGUAAGCAAUAAAAUAUUAUUCGCACAAAAUUUGAAUAAUAUUAAAAUUAAAAUAUAUUAAUCUCGAACAAAUAUUGAGAUUAAUAUAAUUGGAUUAAUUAUUUGAGUCCAAACAUGUAUGGAUUUAAUUAAAAUCCAAUUGUUAUUGGGCUAGUUCAUUAAUUUGGGCUAGAGAUGACUAAACCCACUUUAGCAAGCCCAAGAUGUCAUCAUAUGCUAAAAGCCCAAUUUGAUGCCACGUAUCAAAUGACGUGGCAUGCCAAGUCAAGUGAAUGAGCUAAUGGGACCAAGCCACGUGUCAAAAUGAUGCAGUAAAUUAAAACCCCAUACGAAAUGUUAUGUCACUUAAAUCUGAUUGGUCAAAGGAAGUUCAUGUUUAUCAUGACUCUCUACUUCCUACAACGAUAAAUAAGGACCUCAUAAUUCAAAAAAAGAGGAGCAAGUUUAACAAGAAGGAAGAGAGAGCUUGUGGAUCAAAGCAACAGAUUUCUCUACAAAUUCAAGAAUUCAAGAUCAGUUCAGCUUCAAGAUCAAGAGUUUCUCUACAAAUUCAAGAUCAGUUCAUCCAAAGAUCAAGAGUUUCUCUACAAAUUCAAGAUCAGUUCAUCCAAAGAUCAAGAGUUUCUCUACAAAUUCAAGAUCAAUUCAUCCAAGAGUUCAAGGUUCAAGAACAAGCUCAAGAACAAGCUCAAGCUUUCAAGAUCAAGAGUUUCUCUACAAAUUCAAGAUCAGUUCAUCCAAGAGUUCAAGGUUCAAGAACAAGCUCAAGCUUUCAAGAUCAAGAGUUCAAAGUUCAAGAACAAGCUCAAGAUUUCAAAAUCAAGAGUUCAAGGUUCAAGAUCAAGACUUCAAGAUUCAAGAACAGGCUCAAAGGCCCUUGAAUUCAAGUACAAAUCGAGAUCAAGCUCACCAAACCCGCAAAUCAAGCUCAAGUUCAAGAUCAAGACCACAAGAUUCAAGAACUAGCUAUCAAGCCCUUUGAUUCAAGCACAAGUCAAGAUCAAAUCCGUCAAGUUCAAGUUAAAGUUCAAGAUCAAGCUCGAAGUCCUUGAAUUUAUAAUUGAAAAGACGAAUCAUAGAAAUUGUAAUACUCACUUAAUGAAAUCUAUAAAUCAAUUGUUGCAAUAUUUUCUUGUCUCGAUUAUUAUUUUCGUUCUCGAGAAUUUUAUUAUCCAACACUAGCUUCUUCAGUUGACACAAACACCCUGCUAUUACUGCCAAAACCACAUAGGUAUAUAUAUCCACCAAAUACUAGAAGUCUUUAAAUAGAAACAACACUGCUUUCGCCUCAUAUUUCUAUCACUACCAAGUAUACAUUCCCUUGUUUUGCAGUACGACGGUGCUGUUAUGGCGCUACGAUAGCUGGCAAAUGAAGAAACAAAUUAUACAUAGAGGCACACCUUCAUUAAUAUGUUCAUCAAACUACAAGUUAGUAUCUGGAACACUCUACGAAUAAAAUGGUUCUCUCACUAGAUUCUGGACCAAACAUUACUGACGCCAGUAUUAGUACAAACUACAGCAAAUAUUGAGAACAAAGAGAUAACAAAUAUCCCAUCCUAUACUUUGAGGCAGACAUUGUCAUGCCAAUGCUUCUCCGCCUCCUCUCCUACUAUUUACAAUCCCGAUAAGUCUGCUCUUCUUCACUGGCUUACUCAGUUGAAAUACAGGAUGCCUGCAUAGCUUUUGCAUUCCUUUCCUUAAACUAAGCCUAACCACUGUAUUGUCAACCUCCUCCGUGUCGAAUCCCUCUUUAAACCUACUCUCUAGUGUUUGUCUUUUGUGAGCAACUGGAGAUGUCUUCACAAUGGAAUCGCAUUCCUCUCCAGCAUCACUUGUGCUCCUACAGUUCCAGAAUUGCUCCCCUGACUCGCACUCUGUACUGUCUAAAGUGUUACUUCUUGAGAGUUCACCAGCAGUUUGCUCUUCGUGAGAACAGACGUCCAGAACUGGUUCUUUUGUAAGUACUCCAUUUGAUUGUUUAGAGAGAUAAUCUGCCAUGCAACUGGAAAUGUUAGCACAUGGUGACUGCAUUUGGCAUGUCACAUGUGACUCUUCUCUUUCACGAAGGGUCUUUAUAACAAGUGUCUUAAGGAAGUUCAUUACUUGGACUGCAUGAAUCAGUGCGGUCAAAGGAUCAACCAUCUGCAAGAUUUACUAUCCAAAUAUUAGUAUAUAUGAAACACAAUCACCGGAGAGCAUACCAUAUCAUUCCCAAUUUAGACAUUUGGAUAAAAACUAAACAACCCUUUAAGUUCAGUUUCCGUCAAACAUGCAUUUGAGAAGAGAACAUAAUAAACUUCUGAAAAGUUCUCAAGUACCUGAGUCAUGUUAGGGGCAAAAACCAUGGCAAUAUUCCUUGCAUUCAUCUUGUUAUAACACUCAUUAUGCACAACGUCUGCCAUUAAAUUGAUUGCCCAGUCAAGCAGUCCGGCUUCAGUUGGAGGAAGUAAGCUCACUAGUUGGGUGCACUCUUCUUCAGUGUUGCAAUUCAUCACCUGCUCCGGGGUUAGGGAAUCUAGUACACCUGUAGGGAGCUCCCUAAACCAUGCCUGCAGUCAUAUAGAAAGUCUUGGCUCAUCAAUUUUAUAAGAGUGGUAAAGACUAUAUUUCUGGGCCAAACAGAUCGUCACUGAAUCAAGGGUUACAUAGAUAUUUAAGGGGUUUAUCUGGAAACGAAAAUAAAGUAUCCAUAGAAAGCUGUCUUGGUGUACUUUUCCAGCCCCUGUGAGAAGUAUUAUACAAUAAAUAAAGGCAGUUCAGAGAUAGCUUACUGGUUUUGUAACCAAAAGACAAACACAAUAACCACAAAUGGAAUUUACCAACCUGAGCACAGAACGAUAAGCCAUAUAUAUAUGAGACAACGAAACCUCUCUACGACAGAAGUUAUUUAAGUGUUCCAUGAAAGAACAGUAUUGACUAGCAUAAACUUAUAUAGGAUAUUGGACCAGAAGCUAUAAGUAAUGGAUUUUCCUCAUGUACGGAUAGAGCUCAUUGGAACUAAGAAACUAGAAUGCUAAUCUUUGCUAUCCUUUCUGUUCAAGAAGCAACUUUUGUUGUUGACCAAUUUCAUAAUUUAUUCACUUUCAAAGAUUGCACAAUAAUUCACUUUAAUAAUUUAGGCAGCUACCUAAACCAUGCCUGUAUACAUAUGGAGAGUUUUGGCUCACCAAUUUUAUAAGAGUGGGAACGACUAUAUUUCUGGGCCAAAUAGAUAGCCACCGAAUCAGGGUUACAUAAAUUUUAAGGGAUUUAUCUGAAAACGAAAAUAAGUAUACAUAGAAUGCUAUCUUGGAGUGCUUUUCCAGCCCCUGAAAGAAGCAAUUUAUAUGAUAAUACAAGGGCAAUGUUUCUCAAGAAAUCAAGGCAGUUCAGAGAUAGCUUACUGGUUUUGUAACCAAAAGACAAACACCAUAACCAUGAACGGUAUUUUUACCAAACUUAGCACAGAACGACAAGCCAUGUAUGAGCUUACUGUGAAACCUCUCUAAGAGAGAAGUUAAGUAAGCAUUCAAUCAAAGAACAGUCAUGACAAACAUAAAUUUAUAUAGGAUCUUGGUCCAGUGGUAAUAAGUAGUGCAGUUUCCUCAUGAACACAAAGAGUUCAUCGAGAGAAACUAAGACGUAAGAUAGUCUUCUUUGGACAAUAAUCUCAAGUAAAGAACCCAGAAUGCUCAUCUUUUUUAUCCUUUGUGUUCAAGAAACAUCUCCUGUUGUUGACCAAUUUCAUAGUUUAUUCACUUUCAAAGAUUGUACAGGGCCGAUGUACUAAACAAAAGGCUAAAUGCAUGUUACGUUUACAAUACAUUUAUUGAUUUUCCAUUCUGGCCCAGACUCAGGGCUUAUACACCAAAUCUUUGAUGCUGCCUAUUGUUUUUUCAAUUCGAUCUUGUAAUGGACUCCAGAGGUAAAAUAAAUCUGCCAUACAACAUUUAGCAUAACAUACGCGACAAUAGACUGGGAAAGUACUUUAACAGGCUAGGUAUAGCAAAGGUGGAUACUAAAAAUUGGGAUUUCAGUUUAAUUUAGACCUUCAUGAUCUUGCUAGCAUCUAUUCUAGUUAGUUUCAACUUGAAAAACUCAGCAACGAAUGGAGAUGGACGAAGGAUGAAUAUGUUAAAGCUACCUUAAUCAAUCCUGCCAAACAAUGAACAUCAAUUCCAUAUGGUACAAUGCCUCUACUAUUCAGCUGGUUCCUCACAGUUUCUCCUUGACUAUUCUCAGCAUUAAUCCGGAAUAUUCCUUCUACCUUCAACCAAAAGCAGAAAAGACUGCCAGUUUCAGCAUAUUUAAUGCUAAUAGCGAUAUUUUAGAUUUUUCAAGUACAGAGAAAGAACAAUACUUGAAGGCCUCCUUCAGUAUACAGACGACUCUGCAGCUCAAGAAGUAUUGUUGGCACACUGUUUCCUCUAUUGUCAUAUGAACACUGCAUUGACUGGACAGAAACUCCAAAUACACUUGCACUGCAAAUUACAAUAAAAAAUUUCAGCAUAAAGAAUCAGCACAAGAACUGAGCAAGACGAUAAUCUCAGGCAAUAGUCAGGUGAACAUGAGCAACCAACAGUAGCUGAAAAAAUAAAAAUCACCAAAUAGCAGUUUCUAAUGUUAAGAUAUUUAAGAGCCCUUAUGAUGGUAGAACAAAUUAAUAGCAAUACAAUCAUGAAACUCUUUCCAACAACAAUUGCUUUUCUAAUAAUGGACAAUAUCAAUUGGGCAAUUCUCUCUUCCAAGGUCCUAGACACGAAGGAAUACAGACAGCUAAUGCAUAUCAACUUCAACAGCAGGUUGAAGCAUGGAAGACAGAUUCAGAAUUGAUUUUUGGCCCAUCAUUAAAUCUACUAUAUCAAUAAAUCAAUCAACUAUACUCAAUCUCAAACUAAUUGGGAUUAACUAUAUCAAUCCUUUACCAUGUUUCCACCCUGUUCUCUCCAAUUUCACACACAAUUUGUUGCUCGUCAGCUGUAAGCUGAAUGGAGCAGCCCAGUAGACUAAGCUCCUAUUACGCGCAAGGUCCUGGGAGCUCAAGACAACAAUGGUCUAUUGUACACGGCCUUAUCAUGCAUUUCUGCAAGAGACUGUUUCAACAGCUAGAACGCAUGACCUCCUGGUCACAUGGCAACAACUUUACCGGUCAUUAAUGAAAGUGUAGCUUCCCAAGGAAGAGAAGCUUCCCAGAUCUGGGUAAGAUAAACUCACCUCGUUGGACAUUGAAUAUUCUAUUUAAUAAAAAGAACAGUAAUAAUGGGGAUGGAAGAGUAACCUUGCGCUAGGGACUUUACGGGGGACUUCAGGCUGGAGCUCAAUAGGCAAUCCAAGGAAGCCAUUGAAACGAUCAAAGGUGACGUGAGAAACAUGACAAACAUCAGUAGGCCAUCCAAUAUCCAUAUUAGCCACAUCAUCCCUAUCCACACUGCAAGUCACCAACGACUUCCUUAACGCCGUCACCAGAACCGCCAGAAUUGGGGAUUGAUUAUUCUCAUUGCUCUCACGUCUACGCUCAUCGCCCGAAACCCGAACCGGACUCAAAAACUCUUCUUCUUCCUCCUCCUCUUCUUCUUCUUCUUUAUUCACUUGUUCGUAAUCAUAGAGCGAGGAACAUCGAGGCGACAAGUCUAGUACUGUUGAGGAACUGGAAGCAGACACCCGACGGCCAAAUGUAUACGACUUAGAUCGCAAAAGCCGAGUCAUAAUUCUGAAAAUUUACAUGCAAUUUCCUAGAACAACAACUGGAAUUAUAUGGCUAUAUAUAUACAUGCAUUUAUGACGAAGGAAGAAUGAUGGAAGUGACGAAUGGAAAAAGGGGUUGCUUGUGAAUGAGAAGAAGAUAAAGGGGAGGGAGGGAAAUAAUAAGGACAUGAGAGUGAGUGAAUUGGAAUAGUUGUAAUGAGAGCGAUAGCGGGUGGGGCGUGGUGGGGGGGGGGGGGGACCCCGAAACUUUACCCCUUUACUGUCUUUUUGGAUUUAUAUGAUUUUCCGCUCGUGAAUUACCUGGAAAUGGCACCUAUAAUACUAACUCCUUUUUUGCUUUUGACACGACGGUGACCACCCUGCCAAGCUGCUUUCUAUAAAUUAGUCUGAAAUAAUUUUCAUUAUGUUUGGAAUUUACCAAAUCAGGUUCAUGUAAUUUGACAUUAUUCCUUCUAAAUCUAAAUUGAAGAAUACAUAAAUACUAGAGUAUUUGACACCCCUGGAUGGUAAACUGUAACAUCAAAAUUUUACUUGCACGACUAUUCCAUGUUUUUUCCUCCUCCCAUGUUUUCUCGCAGUACUCGUCACUACUCCUUUCCGAACAUUUUUAGUUGUCCCUAUAUAUAAUGACAUCUGCAUCUCUCUUCAAAAAUAGGAGUAAUAAAUAAAUUAAAGAUACCGUAUUUGAUCAUAUAUAAUUUCAAUAGAUUUGUAAUGAGUAAUUAAUACUAAAAAAAUAAUUAUUUUAUUUUUUGGAUAUAUAAAAAAUACUGUAAUAAAUAAAUAAAAAUGAAGUGGAAAGUGAUUAAUGGUACAAGUGUCAGCAGAAAAAGUUGAAGGAGGUGGGGUGGGGUAAAAGCAUAAACCAGCUCGGACACCUUGAAUAUCUAAGAAAUGUGAAGGCCGUGAAUAAAUAAAUAAAUAAAUAAAUGCAUUGACUGAGCAUACAACUAGCUGCGGUUGUAGUAAUAAUAUGAUAAAUUAAUGUGGAAUGAGAUAGAGAAAGGAAUGUAAGCCGCUAGGGAGCAGACGAACGGAAUCAGAGCAUUAAUCCCAUCUUCCCAGAAUGAAUGUGCAUACACUACCAUAUAAUUAAUGCGUACUCAUCAUAAUCAUCUAAUUAAAUCAAGAAUUAUAAUAUAUCAGGAUAAUUUAGUCCCCCAACCAAUGUAUGCAGCUUUAUCCCUUUUCUUCCUAUACUGGUGCUGCUACAGCGUAACUAUAUCUCUAUCUUACUUACAGGAAGAAGAAAAAAGAAGAAUUAACGUACGGAAAAGAGGUGAAAGAAGGCACAGUCGGAUUCUUAUUUUAUCUUACGAAGCAAAUCAGUGAAUACUAUCAAUUAUCUGUAUCAUUCAGUUGCUGUCUGCUGUUGGCAAAAAGGGACAAAGGAGUAUUACGCAACAUGUCACCCUUUCUUAGCAUAUGGUCAUUUGGCCAUGACAAGUGUAUUGGAACUUCUCCUUUCUUUUUCUUCCCCACGUUCGUUCAUUCUCAAUUUUCCAUAUUUGUUAUGUUAUGUUAAUCUCUACUACUUACUAGUAUAAUGCCUAUUUGUAUGCUAAUCAGAUUCUUCCCGUCAACUCCUACUCAAAAGUUUCCCUUUUGUCUUUUACAAGAAUCGUCCAAAAUCUUAUACAUUGAGUUACCGUUAAAAGAAUCUAUCAAAAAAUAAUUUAUUUAUUCCAUAAACUAGAAACUAAGAUUUGCGUAAAUUCUAUUUGUACGGUUGUAUUGAAUAGGUCGCUAUUGUUGUUGUUGAGUGGUCAAUAUACAAGAAGGGACUGAGGUGAAUUGGAUAGGAGUCAUGAUCGAACAUGAUGUUUGUUUGAUGGACCUAAUUAAAAAAAUAAAGUCGUGCCCAUGUCGUGAGCUAACUUUUAACAUGGUGUUAAGCUUUGAUCGUGCCAAAAUAUUUUAAACAGGAAAACCAAAACCCAGCCAUAUGGGUUUGUUCACAAGUGUAUAUUUAUAUCUUUACUAUGCGAUUCUGCUAACACUAUGUAACAGAUACUUGACAGAUAACAUUUUGGAAUGUUCGAAAGAAAGGGCAGAGAUAUACAUUUUUCAAACAAGAUAAAAUUAACUGAGGCUUAAUUAUGGCAAUGAAUUAGAUGGUUAAUGAUAGUGCAGGUUGAUGUUUGAUUUAAUCCAAAGAUACUUCACAAAAUAGUGUCACAUGAAGGCAUGUGAGAUGUCUCUCUCGGGACCCCUUUCUCUGUUUUUUACUCUCUAUUAAGUCACCCUCCUCUUUAAUUUGGGACCUCUUGUUGAUUUAGGACUGUUAUCCUCAUCAAUUCAAUGCUUCUAAAUUUGUACAUCUAGUUAUGUUUAUAUCAACCUAAUAACAUAGUUACAAAAGAGAUUUUUUCACCUAUUUGUAACAACUGAAUGUUUCUGUUUCACGAAAAUUUUCUUAAAAUAAUGUCUUCUAUAGACCUUUUUGUUUCUUUCUCAUGUCAAUCAAAAUCUUUAAUUGUACAAGAUAUCAAGAAUACUCGGAUGCACGUUGUAAGAGCUCUUUUGGGCCUUUAGGACUACCAAAAGUUUGGUUAUCAGCCAAGUUUCACUGAUGUCCAAAAAUAAAUUAAUUUUUUUUUUUAGUACAGGAAACAUUAAAAGCAUAAUAAUUUAACGUGGUUCUGAUAGAUAUGAUCCUAUGUUCACGGAGAAUGACACGCAUUUUAUUCACUGUGGGAAAACUCCAACUAUUGAGAUCUGAUUUCAGUGUCUUGGAUACUUUCUGGGUGUUAAGCACCAUCAAUUUUAGUGAUUUGUAAGAAUUUCUUUCCCAACUUCACAGAAAAUUAAGGUGAUGUUAUGGUUACACCAUCAAUGUCGAUUGUCUCAAUGUCUCGAUAAAGUAUUUGAAGUACAUUAAAGUGAUGAUAUCAUCGAAUGGCCUGUUCUGGUCUUCUCUAUUUUAUAGUAACACAUACGUGUCUGAACAAGAUUAAUGACAACCAACAGUACUACUAGAGUGUGAGAUGAUUAAUUGAGAUCAUUUUAUUUCCAUUAGAGUGAUAGUAUAAUUUUUAUACAUUGUUGAGUCAACUAAGAACAAACCAGAGAUAAAACAUAUAGGGUACAAUGUGAGUUAAUAACAAUCCCCCAAAAAAGAAAGAAGGAUCAUUGUAAACUUAUUCUAGAAUCAAUUAAAAAUUAUCAAGUGUAAUGCUGACGAUCCUAUUGAUCAAAACCCAAAUACAACAUUGAUCAUUCUGAUUAAAAAAAUAAAAGGUUUUAUGUAAUACCUUUCAUAAUCAUGCAUGAUGAUGUUAUAACUAGUGACAAGUGCCUGUUCUUGGAUAUUUAACCCCCAAAAAGUAGCAGUGACAUCAAUUAUAAUGGCAUUGGCUAACUUGCACGCACUUUAAACAAUUCUAAUAGUACUUAUAUUCACUACCUCGUAUAGACUAUAGAGACGUAUUUAAUUAUCUUAUCGAGCAAAACUUAGAUAAUUAAGAAUUUUGUUGCGGUUAGUGCGUGGGAUUUGAACUCUAGACUACUCCAAUAAUUUGCAACUUUAUUAACGGAUGAUAAGUUAGCAUGGACAGACUUAGAACAAAAUCUACAUGUUCAUGGUAAUUAAUAACUUUUGUCCAAAUAUAUGUUAAUUCUCACUAAAUAAACUAUAAAUAUUUAACACGAAACUCAAUUAUCAUAAACUUGAAAUGUUGAAUUCGUCUUCGUGAGUCACACCCCCAAGUGACAUCAUACUAUCCAUCAGUUGUAGCAACACUUCGGAUUGAUUCAUGCCUUCUUCCAUAACGUUGCAAACAAGCUAAGUCAUGCACUUUUAUUUGAACAGAAGGAGCUAGAGUACACUUGGAGAAAAGUCCCUUUGAAGCUACUCUAAGCACACACACAAAAGAAAAAAUAAAUAUUAUGAGUCAAAUAAUGAAUGUUGAAAAUGAAUUGAAUGAUAUAAAAGGAAGAGAACAUUGGAGGGGUUGGGAAAGUAGGUGUGAUUGUUACGUAAUCCCAACUAAAUCACCAACAAUUAACAUAGUCAUAAAUGGGCUUCUCAACCAAAUCCUUAGUUGAUCCAAUAUGCUCCCUCCGUUUCAAAUUACUUGAUCUUUAUUAAUUUAAAAUACCCCUCAAAAGGUUUUUUUUUUAUUGGACUAAUUUAUGUUUUAUAAUUUUUAAAAUUCUAGAUUAGAUAGUUUCGAAAAAAGUAAUAAAAUUUUCUUAAUUUGUUAAAAUGGAUAAAAUGAAAUGAAACGGAGGGAGUAUGUAUGCCAUGUGUCUUAAUUUAGGUUCUUAAGCUUUCGGUGAUAGGGGAUUAGGGUCUAGAGAAGAAUUAAUUAAGAGAGUAAACAAAAAUUAAUUUUCACAGAUCGCUUCGGAAUUACGUGAAGUUUUUAACUCUUUCUAUCCUUUUUUCCUUUUUGGUUCAUUGAAGGCACGUAAUAUUGAUUGUUGCCUUUUGUAUAAAAGCUCGAAGAAGACUUGUAUUACGAGCUAACUAGAUGGGCUAAAUUAAGGAGCAUGUGUUUCCACUAAUCAUAUAUAUGAUCAAAAUAGAAUUCUUUACUGUAAUUAAUUAUAAAACAUUCUCUAGUUCUGAUCCAAGAACUUGUUGGAACAAUUCUUAAUUUAGUCAAGAAAUGUGAACCUGCUUCACAACAUUCAUUUAACUUAUAACUUAAGCCAAUAUGCAAUAUGCCAGGAAUUUGUCAAAAUAAAAAUGGAAUGAUGCAUUUUGGAUUUUUAUUUUAUUUUUUUUAAAAAAGGUUUAGGUUUAUACAGGAUGGUGUAAAAAAAAAAUUAAACAAUCAUGUCAUUAAUUUAUAAGGUGAUUAUAAAGUAAGUAUCUAUCUGAUUUCGUGAGGUGAGCAAAUUAUACAGGCGUCAUUAAUCGAUUUGCCCAAUACAAUAUUCAAAUCAUUCUAGCUAGUCAUUACUCAACCUCAAUUGACAAUGAACAAUUUAUGAAUAUUAGAUAAUAUUGUGUGAAAUAUAAUGUAAAUUAGUCAUAGAAACUAUCAAGAAUAAAACACCUAAUAAAAGAACAUUAAAUUGCAUGCAUUGUCUUUAAAGUUGACAAGUCUUUGUUUUUGUCCUUUUAACAAUUAAACUUAUACCUGGAUAUGCAUAAGUUCUUUAAACACUAAAGUCAUGUGAGGCAUGACCUAAAUAAUAUUAUGAUACAAAAUUAUAUAUUUAUAUUUCAUGAUAUAUAUAUAUAUAUAUAUAUAUAUAUAUAUAUAUAUAUAUGUUACAAAAGACAUAAGUUAGAGACCACACAAAUAACAAAUAUGGAAUAUAAUUGUAAAUGAUGGAAUAAGGAUAUUAGCAUGUUUAGUCCCUCAAAUAUCAAUAAAUUCAGAUUUGGUCCUUGUAAUUUCUAAUAGACAUGCACAUUUAACAUUCAGGUAUAUAUAUUUGCACUUUUGACCCACGGUGAAUCUUCACCGGUAGAGGUGAUCGUUCGAUAUUCGGUUUGGUAUUUAUAAAUUAUGAAUUCGAUAAUUCGGUAAUCGAUAAUUAAAAGUAAAUAUUAAAUAUCAGAAUUUUAGAUUUCGGUUCAGUAAUUUGGUAAUCAGUAAAUUAAUUUUGAUUCGAUGCGGUAUUUGAUAAUACUAUGUUUCUAUUUUAUCAAACUAAAUGUUUGAAAAAUCAACCUACUCACAGUAAAGGCAACUACAAAUGUAAUCAAGUAAACAGGGUUAGUUUGGUUGGAGUUUUUGACUAAUGCUAUUGUAAAGCAGGAGUGAAAAAUAGAGGGUGGACCUUUUGACCUUUGAACUUUGGACUGACAAUGGGUCAAUUAGAUCUAUUAUAUAUGUACGGGUUGGACCUUUAUUUAAUUAAUAAUUAGGUGUUUGGUAAAUACCAAAUACAAAAUGGUAUUAAUAUGUUGUAUCGAAUCCAAAUUUGAAUACCAAAAUUUUAAAACUUAAAUCCAAAAAUUGUAUCAAAUACUGAAUUAUCGAAUACCAAUAUCAAUUUUUUUGGUUUGAUGCAAUAAUCGAUUUUCGAUAUUUUAUGUUUAACCCUAUUCACCAAUGUAACAAGUCACUAAGUGUUAGACUAUUCAAUUUAUCAAUAUAAUAUGUUAAAUUUAUAUUAGGGAUAAUACCCACGUAAAUAUCUGAACUUUGACCAAAUUUCCAAUGGAGCAUACUGAACUUUGUGGGGGUUCAAUUACCCCCUCCCCCAACUUUUUUUUUUUAUAUUUUAAUGGCAUAUAUCGACCAACUUUUACACAUGUGUGUGUUCACCGACCUUGAGCGCGUGAGAGUGAUUAAAAAAAUGUUAUAAACCUAUUUUUUUGACACGUAACUCUAUAUAUUUGGGUUAGAUUCAUUUAUUCCUUUAAUUUAAACAAUUUAAGGAGAGGUAAAUCUCCUUCUUCUUCUCUACUCCCUUUUCCUCUCAAUUCUUGAAGAUAUGCAUUGAUUUUCUUUGUUUUCUUUAAUAAAUUUCUGACUAUUUUCUAACUUCUUCUCACUAAUUUCUAACUUCUUCUCAAUAUUUUCACUAAUUUUUAACUUGUGAUUUUUGAAAUUAGGGUUAGCUAUGGAAGUGUAAGUUGGAUUUGAAUACGAUUUGUUUAGACAAGGAAGAUCCAAUAUUGAAUGCAGAGGUGCGAUGCAAUCAUGGUCUCUUACUCUAUUUGAAGACUUCUUGGUCCGAUAAUAAUCCGGAAAGAAGAUUUUGAUCUUGCCCUUAUUAUGGAUCAAACAAGUGUAACUUUUUUCUUUUGAGGGAUGGUGUGGUUGAUGAACGAUCUCAGUUCAUUAUUCUAAAGUUGGUGAAGAAAGUGAAGGACAUGAAUGAAAUGUUGAAGAUAAUGAAGACGAAGGAAGAAUUAGUUGGUGCUUACAGUGAUAGGGAAAUAAUGGAGAUGGAAGCUGAAUCUGCAUUCACUCAAAUAGAAGAAUAAUGUAGCUCAUUUGUUAAGAUGAAAGAUGAGGUGAAAAAUACACCACAGAAGACGAUUAAAGUGAAGAAGAUAGAGAGUUUAGUAGUAUCCUCAUGGUGUGUAUCUUCAUAAUGUGUAUUGUUACAUGGUUCAAAAUAGCCGGUUGAAGUAUAUUGUGUAGUUUUAUAAUAUGAAUUUAUCGUUGGAAGUAUUUCUUGUAUGGUAUGGUAGUUUGAACUUGAUUCUCUUAUGACAGUGUUUCUUGUAUGGUGGUUGAAGUUGAUUUUGUUGAAUGAAAUCUCUUAUUUCAAAUUGAUUGUUGGUUUUGAGUACUUGUAUGUUUUGUUCAUUUUGUUGAACUAAAUUCAUUAUACCAAAAUUGAUAGAAAAGAAAGAAUACAACCACAAAGGAUAGAUACAAAUUUAUAGAUCCCAAUAUUCAAUACAGUAGAACAAAAUCAGUGCAUAACUAUUAGAGAUGCAACUUGAACUUUCAAUUGCAACAUAUACUACAAAAUAACUGCACAAAUGUCUGAGAUGCAACAUUCAAGUGUAUCAUAAAACCUUCACAAAAAAUGAUCUUCUCAAAUAACCUACCCUAAUUUACAAUACAACAUCAGUUUUAGUGUAAAAAACUAUCAACAUUUUAAAACUACUUUCAUUGUUACUUGGAUUGUGAUGAAGCCAUUUUCUGUCUUUUGUUCCUUCUCAUCUCAUCUCUCAUCACUUCAAGCUGGUUUCCAGUCAUUACUUUUUUGCCCCUCCACCUUACUCUUAUUUUUGGUUUGUAACCAAGGUUCCCAGUAAUAUCAGCAGAUCUUAUAGGAUGUGCAGAACUAGUAUGUAGUAUCCUAUUACUUGGCAACCCGGGCUGCAGACAAAGAAAGAAAGAAAAUUUUAUACGUAUAAACCUCUAAAGACAAAUUAAACUUAAAUUAAAUCAAUUAGCACUUACAUUAUAUGUUGUGAAACUAUUUUCAGCAAUCAAAACACUCAUUUCGACUAUCUUUGACUUUUUACCAGUUGAAGCAUGUGGAUUUGUUGGAGUAUGAACAGGUGAAGCAAAUGGAUUUGGUGGAGCAUAAACAGGUGAAGCAGGUGGAUUUGGUGGAGCAUAACUGGUUUGAUUUUCAAACCACUCAUGCAAAAGUGGUUUGAUUUUCAAACCACUCAUGCAAAGGUGUUCUCCUUCCCACUCCUAUGUCACCAAAAGGUGUUUUUUUUGUCCUUCCCCUACCUUUUACAGCUACUGCAGCUGCUACAGCAUGUUCGACACCCCCUUUCCUUUCUCUUGCAGCUGCUGCAGCAUGUUCAACACCCCUUUUCCUUCCUCUUGCAGCUGAUGCAGCAUGUUCAACACCCCUUCCCCUUCUUCUUGCAGCUGUUGCAGCAUGUUCAACACUCAUUCCCUUUUCUCUUGCUGUUAUUGCAACAUAUUCAACAUGUUUAACACCCCUUCCCCUUCCUCUUGCAGCUGCUGCAGCAUGUUCAACACUCUUCCACAUUCCUCUUGCAGCUGCUGCAGCAUGUUCAAUAUUCCUACCCCUUCCUCUUGCAGCUGCUGCAACAUGUUCAACACCCCUUCCCCUUCUUCUUGUAGCUGCUGCAACAUGUUCAACAUUUGUAGCUGGUGCAACUUGUCUAACUGGUGAAUCAGGUGUUGUCUUUCUAAGCCUUCCCCUAGGUCUAGGAGGUGCAUCAGGAUUAUCACUUAUUUUUCUUGGCCUUUCCUUAGGUCUAGGAGGUGCAUCAGUAGUAGUAGAAGGAGUGUUUAUUGGCCUCCCCUUAGGUCUUGAAGUACUUGGUACAUCACUUGAUCCAACAUUAAGAAUACUUGAUCCAACAGAAUCCUACAAAAAUAGUUGAAGCAGUCACAAAUUCAAAAAUAAUUAAGCUACAAAUAAAUAAUAGAAGUCGUUUAAAGUUACACACCUUGAAAGGACAACCUCUUUUGUUGUGAUUUUGUCCAUGACAGAUGCUACAAGUCAUGUAAACUCCUUUUCUUGACAUCUUUCCACACUUUUUGGUCUCAUAAAACUGUCUAUUCCUUCUCUUCUUUAGCCUGCCAGGCAUAGGAACAACAACCGGUGGCUCAACAUGAGGAUUUGUUAACUCUGGCCAUAUGUUCAUGUUGGUCACUGGUUGAAUGUAAUGACAGUAAGUCUUAAGACAAGUCUCCUUAUUGUAACAGCUAUCAACAAAAUUAAUUGGAUCCAAUUUCUUGUAGAGUAUGGCUGCAGUCCCAUGUGGAUAUGGUAUUCUCUUGAGCAUCCAAGAUUUAUAGUUGCAUGUGUUAUCCCUCAAAUCCACACUAUGUAUAUAUGGUCCAUCCGAUAUUUCAAAACCUCUCUCUUCAUUGAAGUCAAUAUUACAUGUCAUUGACUUCUCAGUGUUUUUUUCUACCACUCUCAAAGCCAUUGGAGAUAUUUCAGUCAUCCAUGUUUCUGGAAAGUUUGGGAAUUCACCUAGUCUAGUCAUUACCUUCACCCUUAUCUCUUCUAGCAUAGUAAUAAUUGUUUUAUGCCUUGGUCCUAAGAUCUAAGCAUUAAAGCUCUUAGCCAUGUUAUUAUCUAUGCUAUCACACUUAAUUUCAGUUCUAAAGUAAUUUUAUACCAACUUUGUACCUUGUAAUGAAGUAAAUCUGAAAAAAUAUCUUCACCACCUAGCAUGGCCAAUUGGUUCAGAUUUUUCUUCAUUUCAGAUUCAAAGGUGCUUCUUGCAUAUUUCCAGAACUGGUUUCUUAUUUGAAGACCUCUCCAUUUUUUUUUCAAUUGGCAAGGAUGUGUCUUGCACACAUCCUAUGCUCCACCCCUGGUAAAAGCUCCAUCAAUGUUGCUCUAAGAUCCUGAAAAUCAGAUCAUAACAAAUUACAUAUUCAUAACUACACAUAAUAUUCAUUACACAUAACUAAAUAAAUAAAAAAGUAUACCUUUUGCAUAUCUGAAAUGAUUGUGUUUGCAUAUCUGAAAUGAUUGUGUAAUCUCUGCCAUCUGUUAAUCCCAAAUCCUCUAUCAACAAUUUCACAAACCAUGUCCAUGUGUUCUUAUUCUCAUACUGUACUACAACCCAAGAAAUAGACAACAUUUGAUUAUUGUCAUCUUUAGCCACAAUGACCAACAACUGUCCUUUGGUUACUCUCUUCAAGAAAUAUCCAUCUAAACCAAUACAUGUUCUACAACCAUCCAAAAAAGCUUUUUUGCAUGCAUCAAAACAAAUGUAGAAACUUUGAAAAACAAGCUUACUACUAUCAUCAGAAUCAUCAACUUUCACAACACAAGUGGAACCCAGAUUGGACCUCAACAUUUUAUCUCUAUAGUCAAAUAUUCUUCCAAACUCUUUCAAAUGAUUACCCAUUAAAUCUUGAAGUAUUUUACCUCUAGCUCUCCUGGCAGUACUCUUUCCAACAUGUAUACCCAAUUCUUUUCUAAUCAACUGUUGGAACUGAAAUAAUUUCAUGUUUGGCUGCUCACUAAUUCUAUCUUUGAAAUGCUUAUGCAGGAAUUUUGCAUUACACAUGGAAUUUCUAGUGGUUUUGAUACACCUAUGCUUAGGAUUGUAGGUUUUAAUUUGAAAUCAUCGGUAGACUUAUUAAUACUUGUAUAUAACAGCUAAGGACACCCUUCCCUACAUCUAACCCUAACCUUUUUAGACUUAUUAAUAUACUUCUCUAACUUAACACCUCUUUGAAGUGUAUAUUUUGUAACAACAUCUCUAAACUCAUUCACAUCCUCAAACAACAUGCCCAAUUGCCACACAACCUGUUUUACAGAAUCAUCAUACACUACCUUUCUACUAUCUGUCCUUCCUAACCCAUCUUCUAAAUCAGAGUCCACACUAUAUUCAUCAGAACUAAAAUACACAGGCUCAUCCGCAGCAACUUUACCUUUGAAACUUUUAUCAGCAAUUUCUGUCUCCUCAAAUCCUAGAUCUGGACCAACUUCACCAACAGAAACUUUUGUAAGGUCAUUAGGUAUUCUUUCUCUUCCCUUCAUCCUCUGGUAUUUCUUUCUUUCAGCCCUCAAGUUUAUGUCCUCCUCGUGCACAACACUUUCAAAUUCAGUACCAUCUUCAAUAAAUAGAUCUUCAUGGUCUAAAUUUAAGCAGUUUUCAGUUGAGAGGUCAGAAACAUCAGUUUUUGCAGCCUCAAAAGUAGCUACAACUUCACUACCAGCUGCAGUCUCACCACCAGAUGCAACAACACCACUAAAUGAGGCCUCACCAGGUGCAGCCUCAGCAGUAGCUGCAGCUUCACCACCAACUGUAAUAAAACCAGUAGAUGAGGCCUCACCAAGUAGAGCCUUAUUUUCAAGCUCAACAUAUGCUGCAGUAGUUGGUGCUUCAUUAAAAUGACCACCGUCAACCCCUUUUUCAACAACCCUAUCCUCUUCAUGGACCCUCUUGUCACCUUCUUUCUUAAAAGCAACAAAAGAUUUCUCAUUGGUAGUAGUGUAUUCCAGCAAACCAAUGGGACCAUCAACUUGAUCAAGUUGAUCAACCAUGUGACAAACGUACACCUCAACAAUAUCCCUAUUUUCAAAGGAUUGUGAAAGUUCAAAAAUAUCCUCAUCACUUUGAAAAGAUAACAGAAAGUCCUUUUUAGGUGGCCUUAGAUAAACCAUGCACCUUGUUGUAGCAUACCCUAACUCUUUUUAAAAAGCCAGUUAGCUCAAAAUAAGAUAAUUUAUCCACAUUCACAUCAAAAAUAUAUGUGACUUCACUACCCCUUAAUCUGAUUUUUUACUUUUACUAUUCAAAACACCAAUAUGAAAAUAUCUCAGGGUUAUAUAUGUAAAAUCACCCAUUCCUGAAAUUUAGUCACAUUCAUAACGAGUUAAAAUUAAGAAAAAUUUAAUUAUUCAAACAUGCAGUAAUUAGUCACACAUGAAGAGUCAAUUUAGAUUACAAAAAAGCCCUAACUUAUUGAUAAAAAUAAGAAUGAUUUAGAAUAGCAAAAAAUCCUAAAUUUAAGAAAUUAUGAAACUACAGACUUGUUGAACAAUAACCCUAAAGAAAUUGUCAUAGAGUUUCAAUUUUUAAGUUUAGCAAAGCUAACCUUCAAGACUUGUUCAACACCAAGACUCUCACAACUCCCAAUACGAAAUCACACCUCGAGGAACACCCGAGCAGUUGCUAACGUUGAUAUUACAAGUAAUUUUUUUUUAAAAGAGUAGUGUAAGUGAGAAAUGAGGAUUAAGAGUGAAAUAGAUGAUUGAAAAGGUAAGAGUGAAAAAGAUGGUUAAAAAGGUGAGGUGUUUGUUGAGUAUAGAGAAGAGAAGAGAAGAGAAGAGGAAAAAUCCGUUUUUAUUUAUUAAUUAAUUUAACUUUUAUUACAUUUGUGGAUAAGUAGGACUUAAAAUAAAAAUUAAAUGGGAUAAUUAUUAUUUAAAUGGGCGCGUGUAUCCACCGCUAUUGGGUUGACUGAGUAUGUGUAAAAGUUGACCGAUAUAUGCCAUUAGAAUACAAAAAAAAAAAGUUUGAGGGAGUAAUUGACCCCUCGUAAAGUUCAGUAUGCUCCAUUGGAAAUUUGGUCAAAGUUCAGGUAUUUACAUGGGUAUUAUCUCUUUAUAUUAUUACUUUGUAUUUGAGGAUGAUAUAGUUCUAGAUGUACUCUAAAUAUCACAUUUACCCGAUACAAAUGAACCAAAUAUACAUAGUUUGAUUCAUGAAAUAUUAAAUAUGCUUAGCCAUAUAUACAAGGACAAAAGUCAUAUCAAUAAUAGAAGGACCAAUGAUGAAAUUAUCCCUCUUUCGAAUGCAAAACAAGAUUUGCAAGUUUGGCCUCAAUACAUUGUUCUUGUACUAGGCUUUUUUAUAUGUUUCUUUAAUCCUUAUAUAAUCUCCCCUCGUGGCAGGGGUGGAUUUAGGAGAGCGUGAGAGUGUUCAUCCGAAUCUUUUCAAUAAAAAAUUACAGUAUAUUCUUAUUCGAAUCUUUUCAAUAAAAAAUUACAGUAUAUAUAUAAGAUAUAAAUUUUUUAUAUACAUAUGUAGAUUAUAUAGAUUUCGAAUCUUAUGAGAGAUUCCAAAUUCUAAUCUCGUGGUAUAAAAAUAUUUUCAUUUCCAUCCUGAAUGUUGAGUUUUAACUUAUCACGACUCAAAUGCUAACUAGGUAGGAGAAACCAAAAUAGUUUUUUUUUUUCUGAAAUAAUAAUAAUAAUAAUAAUCUAAAGGGUCGUAUUUUCCCUGUAAUCUGAACUCGAUUUGGUUAUAAAAUUAAUUGAUAGAAUCUAGUUUGUUGUGCCACUUUAUCAAGGAACAUUUUUUUUUUUUUAAAUAUAGCUUGAUGUAUAAAAACUCCCGCUAUUUGCAGGAUCAAGAGAAAGACCGAACCAUAAGGAUUUAUCGCGCAUAGUCCAACCUCACAUUUCUGUCUGAUGCACAUACUAAUUGCAUAAAAUAUUUCGAUUUUAUCACAACUCUUGCAUGUUUGGCAUCAAUAUUUCGUCAUUCUUUUACCUGCCAUAUUAUAGUUUUAAUAUUCAUCAAUUUUGUCCUAUUAUCUACAAGAAGUCCAAAAACUUGAGAGGUAUUAGUGAUGCUAUGUACCCUUGAAAUUCCUGUUAGGUUAGAGCUGGAAAUUAAUGCUAGUAUGAAAGGAGAAGAAAAAUGCAGUAGUUAUCUUUUCCUAUUCGCAACAUUAUCAUAUCAUACCUAGUGACGACCACAGUUUUCUUUUUGAAUUUUAAAACUUAAAAACUAAGAUUCAAGAAGUAUAAAAUUCAAAUAUAUAUAUUGAUGAGAUCGCGUAAAACCAAAGAUGUAUUUCCUUACGUGGUUUCACAACUGUUACCUUCCUAGUUCUCAUUUCACGAUGUUGGAUUUUCAUAUCAAAUUGAUGAGGCUCUAGAUGUCCUGUCUUGGACGUGAGGGGUUGUGAAAGAAUCUCACGUUAUGCUUUAAAUAAUGAGUUGUUUUCUUAAUAUGGUGUAGAUGCAAUGCUCACCCAUUGAACUAGUAUCUAGGAUUGAAUUUGAUUCAAAAUUCAUUUUUUCACACAUGUGAAAUUGAUUCUUUUGCCAUUGAUAGUCAACCACCUAAAUUUUUCAGUCUAACUAGUCAUAACUCAAACAAGAUUUUGACUAAAAUGAGCUCAUUUUCAGGAGAAAAGCAUGUCAUAGCGACAUAAUGUAUUGAGAAAAUGUAUCACUAAUCCACCUACGAGAAAGAAAUAUAUAGGAAAAUAGAUCAAUAGCCGGAAAACAAAUUAAACCUUUUAUUGUAGUGGUUGGAGUAGUUUAGGACAAUUAUAAAUCUCUAUGUAAUUUUCAUACAAUGAAUGUGGGAUAUCGUAUUCUCAUAUUAUAAUUUCAAUUUUUUUUUUGGAUGAAUUUACUUAUCUUCGAAUAAUUAGAUUGCUUAUGAUUGAUCAAAACAUGUCAUUUAGAAUACUUGGCGGUUUUUGAUUGGUUCUUGAAUUUGAUUGGAUUAACACAUCAUUUGAAUAUGUGACAUUAUCUUGUUGGUCUUAAACUUGAUUGGAAUGCCAUGUCAUGACUUGACACGUGACAUGAACUUUGGACUUGUAUUUAAUGAAUAAGCUUAUUUAAUCAUUCGACCAAUUGAAAAUGCAUUUAGUCCACAAAUUUCGUAUGAAUUUAAUCCCAAAAAAUUAUGUGUUUGCAAUACCAAAUUAGUCAUUUCACAAGAUAAGACUUUUCAUUAUUAGCUAAUGACGGAGUUAAUGAUAGGAUAUAACAAAAUUUAAAUAACAAUCAAAAUAAGUAGUAUAUUUAAACUAACAAACACAAUAUAAUACUAUAAGUAACAACCACCCAAACAAGAAGAGAAAAGAAACUAGAUAUCGAAAGUGUCACUUGUGCUUAAUUAACUAGGUAAAAGACAUUAUUGAUCGCUCCCUUUGAAGAGAAACGCCAAAAAUGAAUUUGAAUUAUUCCAACAUAGUAAUCACAAUAAUUUCAUUAAGUUCUAGAAUAUUUAAAAAUAAGUGUGGGGACAAAAACAAAAAGAAGAAAAUCAGGUAUAGUACAAUAUUCGUAAGUAGUCAAUAGAUUAUAAAGUUGUCCUUGUUACUAGAGUAUUUUAUUCUAUAGUAGUACUUGAAUAAGCAUUGAUGCACGUAGGUGUAGAAAUGAAAAGACAAUUGAAUCCAAAAAUUGGCAAGGUUCUUGUGGUUUUGUCAAGUGUCUCCAGACAGAUAAGGCCGCAAAAUAGGUGGACAAUUGGGGUUGAUAGAGAAUCCGACCAAACUAUCACAUCAUUUCUUACCUAUACACACACACACACACUUCAUUUCUCCCUCCCAAUCAUCAAUGCCAAUACAACCACCACUCUACUUGUGACACUAAAAAAUCUCUAGUGAACUACUAAAAUUAUCAUGUGACAGGUUUGGAAGGCAAGAAACUCAAUCAACUUAUUUGUUAAUUCAAUGAAAAUGUAAAUUAAGACAUUCUUUGAUUUUCAAAUAUAUGAAAAUAAUUAAUUUGCUAAUAAUAGAGAUAUAAUUGUGGCAUAAAAUGACGGGUUGUUAUAUUUGUAGAUGCUAGCUUAUAAAAGAAAAAAAAGAUGACAAACAUUGAAAUGAUAAUGGCCGUGGAUAGUCAUGAAAAUUUGCUUCAAGUCUUUGAUGGUCCUAUUCAAUUGGUUGAGAAGACUAUCACCGCUAAAACAGGGACAAUUCACUUACCGUUGCAGUGAAUUCACUUACCAUUAGAAAAUGCUAUGAAAAAUGGAUAGUCAAAGGUGCAAAUUUUGUCUAAUGGAAAAAUUGUGGUGGAUUUGAUAUUGACAAGGAUUGUAGCUUCGUGGAAGAUAAAGUCCGCUUGUAAGAAUAUUUGGAAGUUUAUGAUUUUUUAAAAAAAUUUAAAUGUUAUACAUAUUCCUAAAUCUUAAAAUAUGAUAGCACUUAAUCUAGCCAACUUUUCUAGUUCAUGUUUAUAUAAGGUUGUUUUGAUUUCUCCGUUCACUAAUUGGAUUGUAAACCACAUCUUUUAACUCACAUCUAGAGACUUCCAUCUUCUGUAUUUCCUAUAGGUAAAGACAGUGAAGUGCAGUGGCGGAGUCGAAAUUUUUAUUAAGAAGGAUCAUAAGUAUAUAUACAAGUUAAUCGAAUGGGAUUCAUCAUCUACUAUAUAUAUACGUAAAAUAUAAUUUUAACUAUAUAUAAAUAAAAUAAUUUUCUGCGAAAGGAAGUUGGGAUGAACCCGCUGACCUAAGGGUAGCUCCGCCCUUGCUGAGGUGCACUCAAAGUCUUAUUACCCCCAUCUUAUCUAAGACAAAGUUGCAUCCGACCUACUUUAGUCUCAGAUAAGGCGCAAAUUGAAUUGAAUAGAUUGGACUGUGCCUCCCCACAUAAAGAGCUUUGGGCUCUUCACGAGAGAGCAUCAGGUGAUCAUAGGAUUAAUUAAUGGACAUUUAAGUACAUUCUACUUAUUAUUACUUGCUUCGUUCUUAAAUAAGUGUUCCUUUUGUCUUUUAAUUUUAUUCCUAAAUAAGUGUUUGUUUAAGUCUUUAAGAAUAAAUUAUAUGUUCUUUCAAAUUUGCUCUUAUUUAGAUACAAUGUAAUUAAUGUCAAUUUAGAAAGAAAUAAAUUUAAUCAGAGGUAAGUUCGUAAAACUAUAUUUUAUUUUCUAGAAGUUAGUAAUUUAUUAAAUAGUAUGCCCAACCCAAAAAGAACAUUUCCCUUGGGAAGAAAGAAGUAGUUUAAUAUCACAACAUUUAGAAAUCUUUUUUACUUUCUUAAACUCUGUCUCAAGUCAAAAUAAUACAUAAAUUUUCUCAUAAUUAAUUCAUGUAUUACUAAUACCUGCAUAAAUCUAAUCAACUGCUAAACGAUUCCUAAAAGACUAUAAGCUCUCCACUUUGCUUCCUUAUUACUCUCUCUCUCCGAAUUACUUUACUUGACGUUCUUCCAAAAAAUAAAUGGUCCAAAAUAGUCGUCAUUUCAUAAAUUCAAGAUAUAUACUUCAGUAAAUUUUUUCAUUUUGCGCUUAGUAAUAAGACAAAAUAGAUCGAUGGAUCCUUGUACUAUGUCUAUUUUGUAAUGUGGAUACUCCUACUUAUACAUUUGUCAUCUGAACCCCUCAACUCGUCAAAACAAAAUAUUUUGAACCACUCUGACCGUUGACCAAGUCUAUAUGGCACAAAUCGGCCAUAGGACAGAGUGCGUGAUUACACACACAUGGGGUACGAGUGAGGGUUAUUUUUUGGUCAAUUUUAUAUUAAAAAAAAAUAAAAAAAAUUGAAAGAACCCCCACCUCCCCUUUUCUCCUCUAUUCCUCAUCUUCACCUCCUUUUCCUACAACAAAUUUCCUAUUUUGACUCUUAGAAUUCCAAAAUCAUCUAAAGUUUCAACCUUUCACAAACAGGAUUUGAAACCCAACUCCAAAAUCAAAUAGAGUUUCAACCUUUUGAUAAACAAGAUUCAAAACCCAGCUCCAAAAUCAUCUAAGGUUUCAACCUUUCACAAACAAAAUUCGAAACUCAAUUUCAAAAUCAUAUAAAGUUUCAAUCUUUACACUCAAGAUUCAAACCCACUUCACAGAAUCAUGUAAAUCAACCAAAAUUCACAGAAAAGAGCCUAAGAAUUUUAAAAUUCAAAAAAUCCAAAUAGAGUUCCACUACUACAUUAAGAGUAAUUUUUCAAAACCCAAUUCAAGAAUCGUGUAAUCCUACAGAAUUUUGGAAAUUGGAGAAACCCCAGAUGAAGUUUCACUAAUUCAUUACAAUCCCUUAAACAAAAACCAAAAAUCUUGAUUGUUUCCUGGUGCAGGGAUGGGGGGUUAGCAAUUUCUGGCGAGCUGUCACCGGAGUCGACAACAGGGGGUCGUUUGGUCGUCGGUUAAGAUGGCUUUUCCGGUGAUAUUUCGACGAAAAAUUUGAGUGGUCUAGACUACUGUUUCUUCCUCUUUUUCACUCUAUUUUUCUCACUAUUUUCUUUGAUUAACACUCUUUUCCAAUUACUCUUUCUCUAUUUUUCUUUGACCAACUCUUUUUCUUUCACUCAAUUCCCCUUUCUCCGUUCUGUUUCUCUCUUGAUUUCUCUAAUUUUUCUCUGUUUUCUGUGAAUGUGUGUGUAGCAGCUUAUGUGUGUGUGGUGUGUAUUGUAUUGUGUUCUGUGUGUGGUGUCUAUGGAGGAUCGUGUGAUGGUGAAUUUGGCUGACGAAGCUGUUCCGGUGAACAUAAAUCGAUUGGGGCAAUUGAAUUUGACUAGAAAUGAUCUGGAAAAGCUCAAUUUCACAAAAGCUCAAUCAAAUGGUCCCAAGUCUGAUUUCAAUUUGAACAGAGAGUGGAGAGAUAGAGAAGAGAAAAGAUGGAGAAGAGAGAGCCUUUUAAUUUUUAUCUUUUCUUUAAUUUUUAAUUUUUAUUUUUUUAAUAUUUAAUUUCUUAUGUGGCAUUUUUAAAAUGAUGUAAAAUUUAAUGUAGUAUUUAAAAUGAUGUAGAAGCUGACGUGGGGCGAGUGUGCUACACUCACCAACAAAGUGUUUAAAAUAUUACUUUUUAGUGGGUUUAAGGGUUCAGAUGACAAACAUGUAAGUAAGAAUAUCCAUAUUAUAAAACAAACAUAGUACAAGGGUCCAUCGAGUCAUUCUGCCUAGUAAUAAUUAUUGUUGACAAUAAUAAACACCAACUAAUUAGCAUAAAAAAACCUAACUGAAAAAUAUAUACACAUAUUUCACUACUGUGAUUGCUUAGAUUAGCUUUCCUUUUUAUUUAUUAAAGAGAGAUUAACAUUUUAAAAUGAUUAAAGAUAAUAAAUAAGAGUAUAAUAGUCAAAACAUAUAAGACUUGUUUGGCAUAUGGGAUAAGUGAUAGCUAAUUUCAGAAUUAAUUUUAAAAUGAGCUUAUUAUUUGAUUGAAAUAAAAUAAAUGAGAUAACUAAUCUCAAGAUUCGAAAUUAUAAGGUUAUUUUUAUUCUACCUUAAGAAUAAAAUAAUAAAUUUUAAAAUACCUUAUUUUCCAAUCAAAUAAUUUGAUCAGUAGCAUGUAACGUGACAAGUAAAAAAAUGCAAAGAAAAUAUAGCGUUGAAUGAGUAAGAAAAUGGAGAGGCGAAAUUUGAAAAGGACAAAGCCGCAAGAUGGAAAAUACUUAAAUGUAGUGGGGAAGAGGGAGAAGGGAGAAGGGAGAAGGGAGAAAAAAGUGAGAAAAUCUGGCUACUCUUUGAUACAAAUACAAUCCCAGAUUACGCGCAUCUCCUCUCCUCCCUCGUUCCCCAUUUUGAACAUUCUCAUUUCGCCUUCCACUUUUCCUCUUUUUGUUUUUCUCUCUGUCUUCCCUCUUUCUAUUUGUGUCUGUAUAUAUAUAUACACACACAUACACACACAAACUCUCAACCAACAGCACUAACACACAUACACACAAAAUCUCUCUCUCUUUCUGACUCUGACUCUGACUAGCCUUCCCUCCUCUCCUUUUCAUUCUCUUUUUUUUUUUUUAUCGUUUUCCGCCGCACAGGCGCAGAUCGUCUCCCUGUUUCUUCCUUGUCGAUCUGUACGGGUCGAUGCGGCUACCUCUGAUUGAUUGACUUCAAUUCUACUCUGUUGUUUUUUUAUAAGCUGCUGAGUUGUCUGUCAUGGGCCAGUGUUAUGGUAAAACUGUCCCUACAGUCCGCGAUUCUGAUGGAGCAGUCGUCACAGCUGUUGGGAAUACUGGUGAAGACGCCGAUCAGCCUUUGCCACAGACGCCUGUUAACAACAACAACAACAACAACAACAGCAGCAAUUUUCCGUCUGUUAAAAAUACUCCUGCUCGAUCCUCUGCUAAUAGUCCUUGGCCGAGUCCGUAUCCGCACGGUGGUGCGGGUGUGACUCCGUCUCCUGCUAGGUCUACUCCCAGAAGGUUCUUCAAGCGCCCUUUUCCUCCGCCGUCUCCGGCCAAGCACAUCAAAGCGUCGCUUGCUCGGCGAUUUGGCCAUGCGAAGCCGCCUACGGAAGGGCCAAUUCCCGAGGAUGUUACAGCAGAGACUGAUCAGUCGUUGGAUAAGAAUUUUGGAUACACCAAGAAUUUCGGAGCCAAGUUUGAGUUGGGGAAAGAGAUCGGCCGUGGCCAUUUUGGUCAUACAUGUCACGCAAAGGGCAAGAAAGGUGAACUUAGGGACGUACCGGUUGCUGUCAAAAUCAUCUCUAAAGCUAAGGUAGUCUUUUCCAUUUGUCUUUUUCUUUCUGUUUGAAAGCAUUGGACUUGUCAAUUACGUACAAGCAGAUACUGCUACAUUGUUUUUAUGUCUAAUCUUUUUGCUGUGUUUGGCUAUUUUGAGCUUACAAGAAAACAAAUUCAGUUCAGAAUAGAACUGAAUGGGACAAUUUUGUAUAUCUGGGGUAAGAUUUAGUGUCUAAUUGUCUGUUUUUCCUUUUGCUGGUCUCAUUCCUUAUGAGAUUUCGUUUAGAGGGUAACUUCGAUUAUUUUUAAAGAGAUUUCGUUGAAAUCUGCAACAGCAGAUCCCCUUCCACAUGUGCUUCUAUGUUUAAUUUUGGAGUUGCAGAGAAAUAAAUGUGGAAAUGUUGAAGACGACGAAGCGCGUUCAGUACUGAUUUCUUGUUUGGUUUUCAUUUUCAUUGAAAUGAAUGCCAUCAUUCAAUUGAGGAAUUUGCCCCCUUUUAAAUUCUAUAAGCCACUAUUUUGCUGAUACUGUGGAUAAUAUGUUAGUCCAACCAAAUUUGAACUGAGAUCAUUUUGUGGCUGAAAAAUCUUUAUUUUGACUGAAAAAUUAAAAAUAAUUUUGUGUAUGUUCUGUUGAUCACAAUUUGUUGGAGUUUCCUCCGAGCUGCAUAUACUUUGUGUACCAAGCUAAGUUGUUCGGAGUCUUCGCUUUCAGUGCCCCACUGGUGUCAACACGACAUGGGUGUGGAUGUAGAGUCUGUAUCGGAUUUGGUCAAUCAAUUUUGAAUACUUUGACAAAAUCAAGGGAGAAAUUCGGGACAAAUACAAUGAUUACAAUGAUUUUUGUUGUGAAAACAAAAGUUAAGGUGAAAUAGAAGAAAGUUGAGAACCUUGUAUAUAGGAAUUUAUGGGUCAGUCAUUUUCCUUAUAUCAUCUUGUGUGAUUCUCCUCUUCUCCUCUUGAUCAAUAUUAGUUUCCUCAUAAUGCCUUGUAAGUUUUCCACAUAACCUCUCAAAAUUGACAUAUAAUGAUAUAACUCUACUUUUAGAUGUUUGAAUUUUUCUUGGCAGAAUAACUGCACUCGUAUUCGUAGCUGGUUUCGUACCCCCCGAAUUAUAAAGUUUAGGUCAUGAAGGAUCAGACUUCUAGAUCCGUACUCGUAUCGGAAACCCGCACCCCCGUCCGAGCAACUUACCCAGGAUAGUCAAACUGAUUUUAGUAACCUAGAAUCAAGACCAGGAUAGACAAACUGAUUUUAGUAACCUAGAAUCAACAAGAUUUUCUGUGGUAGAAUCUGGAAAUGGAAAAGCAAAAAUGAGUGUGUUUUCUGGAAAUGGUAACUAAAAGAGGUUUUGCAUUAUAGGUCCUGGUAUUCAUAUUAACUUUAGCUUGCCUAUGAUAUGAUUUUGUUUUUGGGUUGAUCUUGCAACGGUAUCAAUGGGAGCCAACUAUGUUUGAGCACCCAAGGGUACGGGCUAGUCAAUCAAGUGUUCAGAGCGAGAUCUCAAGUUCUAAUCCCUUCGUAGACAAAUACUUUAGGUGAUUUCUUCCCAUCUGUUUUAACCUUAUGGACAGAGUUACCUUUUACAUGUCGCUAGUGGGAGAUGCAAGGUAUACCAUGGAAUUAGUCGAGGUGCGUGAAAGCUGGUCUGGACAUCACGAUCAUAAAAAAACUAUGUUUGAAUUUGAAAGAAUGAGUAUCAUACUGUUGAACCUAAAGAUUAGUUAAUGUAUUUCCCAAUUUUCUUACUCAUAAAUUAUUGCUUCUCUUCAUAUUUGGUAAGCUUUAUGAAUUUUUUGUCAUGGGCGUAAUAUAUGUGCAGGCUAUACUGAUUUGAGUAAAAAUGCUCAUGUUUCCCAUCCUAUCCUUGAAUUCGUUCGCAUUACCCAAGUCUUUCUUGAUCAUUCAGCAAAUAGAAAAUGUGUUUCCUUGUUUUGUAUAGAAGAGGAGUGUAUUUGACAAGCUUCACCGAGUCUUCUCAAAAAUGAAAUACUAAUUUGUGGGAGCUUUUGACCUGAAGGAUGUGCUUACAAUACGGUGGAGAUCUCGACCAGAAUUCAAACCAUACUUUUAAGACACUGUGUGCAUCAACUCGAAUUUGAAGAAGGCAACUCAUCAGUGCUACUUCAAGUCACGAGACUAGUGUCACCCAAAUGACAUUAUGAGACUCUGACAUGUCUCAAGUUUGUGCCAUGUUUAUGGCCAAAGAAGAUAUUGGUGGAAAUAGUGACGUUUUGGUGGUUAAACUAUGCUUACCCGUACCUUAUUAUUAACAAUGAAUAAUAUGGUUGAAUGUAUGUAUCCCGUAUAGGUUCCAAGGGGCUUCUCAAUUUCAUCUAUCAAAGGACUUUAUGGUUUUGCAACUUGUUAAGUUUUGGAUGAAUAAACAAAAACCAAUGUUUUUCUUGAAAAGGCUAGAGGUUAAAGGUUGAUUUAUCAUAGAGCUCUGUCUUUGCUUAAUAUGGGUCAAUAUAUAUUACGAUCAUUGUGGGAAUAGUUUGCUAAUUUUUUUGAAUGUUUGAAAAAGGGUGAUAAUGAGGUUGACUAUACCAUGGGUAUCAUCCUUAAAAUAGGGAUACCAAAUUGAGGUGCUGGGUGGUUUUAAUUGCAUCACUUGUUAUGAACUCGAAAGGGUCAAUGGGUGUCAUAUUUGAGGCUUUGUUGAAGAACUAGCCUCAAUGACUUUAAACCUAGCCUACCACAUCAUCAACGAAUAGAAUUUGCACCGCUUCAUCACAUACCUAUGCUUAAAUUACCCCUAGGAUAGUGGUCCUUUUAAUACUACUCCAUUUCAAAAAGAAUGAAGGGGUUCGGUGUAUGAGGGUGAAACCUUCUAACUUUCUGUUUCUAUUCAUAUAUCAACUUUGUGAUCUUUUUCUCAUAAAAUUUAGAUACUUAGAAACCAAAUAAAGAGUAUGGUAAGUAUUAACUAAAAUAUUAAAUAAAAUAUGCAAAAUUGUUGUCAAGAAAAAGUUUAUAAAUACUGAAAUAGGUAUUAUAUUAUUAUGUCAUAUAAAGUGGAGGUAGUGGUAUGGACGGCGUAAUUUCUACCCAUCCCAGACCCCACUAUGUGGAAAUAUACUGGAUAUGUUGUUGUAUAGAAAGUGGAGCAAAAAGAGUAAGUUAGAAUACUAGAAAUUAUUGGUCCAUACUUCCCUUUAUGUUUUGGUGGCUAUAUUUUUGUGAAAGAAUGCUAACAAGGCAUUUAAUUGAACUAUAUUGGAGUCCCACAGCUAAUGAUUAUAGGUUACUUGGUCUCCUUAUAUGGUCUUGGAUAAUCCUCCCCUUAUAAGCUAGGUCUUGGGGUUGAGUUAGGUUCAUGGUCUAUUUCUUUAUUAUGGUAUCAGAGCAGGAUUCAUAUCGAUUCUCAUUCCUGAUGUUAGGCCUCCAUAUUAAAUUGUUCAUACACUAGAUUCUAACCCUUGGCAUUAGGCUCUUUAAGGGAUGGGUGGUCUCUUUAAUAUGGUUUGGACAAUCCUCACCUCUUGAGCUAGAUUUUGGGGUUGAGUUAGGACCUAAGUCUCUUUCUUUAUCAUGGUAUCAAAUUCAGGCCAAGCUCGAUUCAUUGUUUACCGAUGUUGAGCCCUCUUCCAUAUAUUAUUGAUGCUCUAGGUUUCUGGUCAUAGGUGUGUUGUUGUCCCGCAUUGGAUGGGUGUUAGUUACUUGAUCUCCUUAUAUAGUCUUAGGCCAUUCCUCCCUCAUGAGCUAGCUUUUGGGGUUGAGUUAGGUCCAAGGUCCAUUUCUUUAUCAAACUUUUUGGUCUUUCAUUUUGUAUUUCAAUUAUAUACAUUUCACCUAAGUUGCUCGAACUUUUCACUUUUGGUGCUGCACCGUGUCAACAACAUGGGUAUGGGAUCCAUACCAGAUCUGGUCAAUUGAUUUUGGGUACUUUGACCAAAAUCGAUUGAGAAGUUCGGGAUAGAUAAAACAAAAGCUAAAGUGAAAUUGAAGAAAAUAAAAUAUCUUGUAAGUAGAAAUUUCUAUUUCAAUCCUUUUCCUUUUAUUCUUGAAUUCUUCUCUUAAUCAAUAUUGUCUUCUUAGAAUACCUUGUAGUUUUCCAUAUAAUGUCUCAUUAUUUAUACAUUUUUUAUAACUUCAAUUUUAGACAUUUGAAUUACUUUUAGCUGAAUUCAUCUACUUGUAUCCGUAGUUGGAUCGGUACCCCCGAAGCUUAGAAUUUCGAUCUUAAAGGAUCUGACCUUUAGAUCCGCACCCCUAUCCGACACCCGCACUCGAAUCUGAGCAACUUAGCAUUUCACACAACUUAUUUUCAACUCUUUUUUCAUUACAACGGUGGUGUCUAGGCCAACUUGCAUACAACCCUUGAUUAUUACACGAAGUACCAGCAGCCUCCCAAAAUCACAAGAUUCGGAUAACUCUGUUUUUCGAUAAAAAGGUAUUGGGUAACUUUGUUACACCAAGGCUAAGGCAAAUGGAAAGAAGUCUACUAGUGUUUUUUGUCGGUACUGCUAAAUGAACUCUGGUCUCCGAAACUUUCAAUCACUUCAUUGAAAACUAGGGCAUACUUUUGUAUGCAACUUAUUCUCAAUUUUUUGUGACUUAACAUCAACCAUUUUAGUUGAAAUGUCUGAGUGAAUAGUUAUAUCACUAUUCUAAAGAAUCUUCUCAUGCAUAGGUAAAAUUAACCUAGCAUACAAUGUUACAUUUUUUGAUAAUCCUAUGAUCAUUCACGGUGAGGUAAAACAAGAUCUUUGAUGGUUGCUUUGUAGUGCUAGAAUCUGUUAGGCGACUCUCCCUCUGCCUAAAUUUGUUGAUGGCUCCUCGCUUUAAUUCCAGCCAUCAUGUAUGGGGUUGCCUUUUUACUUUUUUAAUGAGUUAAUUGAUUUAGCUUUUUCAGGUUAAACUUUUCUAAUAAAAGCAAUUAGUGCAUUUGGCUUACAUGUACCAUAUCAUUGUAGAAAUAUUUAGUGGUUUAACUUGUGGGCCGAUUGAAUAUGAGUCCUUACUUUCACAUGUCCUAAUUCUUGAGUGGAGCACAAAGAGAAAGCUGAUAAAUAAUGAAUACAUGAUUCCAUUAAUAAGUUGAAUGCAUCUGAAUUCGGGAGAACUAUCGAAAGCUUAGUCCAUCCAUCUACUAUUGAGUUGUUCUUAUUUUAACUUGAUAUUUCUUUAAUUAUGUUUGGAUUUAAUUGCACGUGGGUCCCAAGUAAGGGCAACUAACUAAUGAUGAAUUUGAAUCUGAACUGUGUAAAUGUUGUCCCUAUUUUACCACUUUCCUACUGUAUAAUUGAAUAUCUUGUACAUUGUGAGAGAACAGCUCCCAUUUAAAAGAAGAUAACAAAUUUGGGCAGACUAAAAGUUGUAUCCAUGCUUUUGAGGUUAUCAACUAUUAGGACUCGUCUAGUUACAGCCUUUUUUUCUCUGUCAUCGUAGCUCCAUUUUUACAUUAAGGUUGCAUGAGACAUCGUUAGUGUGUGUAUUAGUGGUUCCUAAGCAUGUGUUUUAGUAAUACAUGUGAAUGUCUGCAUGCAUGACUACUCUAAUCAUGAUGGUAAAUGAUAAUAUCUCCUCAUUCCUAAAUUGGUUGGAAUCUCUAGAAAUUGUAGUAUCCUCCUUAUUUAGAAGAGGUUUCUGAAAGAAGGGAAGUUUAUUUUAUUUACUCGGCAUUGCCAAGUUUUCCUUAAUUGGAAGAGUUUUUAAGCACUACAGAGUUUUCAUUGACUCUCUGGUAAAGAUCGGUCGGGCCAUAUUUAAUGCAAAUUGGAGGGAAUUUCCUUAAUUUAGUCAAUCUAGAGUCCUCUUACACAAAGCCGUUGCUCCUUGUUCUCUUGGAACAGGGGAGAGUUAGGUAGGUUGUUCGUAAAUAGAUUAGAUGUACAUGAAACAUAGAAGAGUGUAAGUGUCCCACCUUGAGUAAUGUAAAUCUAUGCAUUGGAAAAGGCAUAUGUAAAACACCCCAGGUGCAAGACACUUGUCUUUAGUUAUUCUCCUCCCGUAUGUCUUAUUUCUUGUAGGUUAAACUUCUCAUGAAACCGCAUGGAACAACUCAAGUAGUGAUUUUUUGGCGUCGGUUGAAUGGAUGAUCAUUGGGUACUGCUUGCUCUCCAAAAUGAAUGAUAGGUUUCGGAGUGCAAAGCUUGAAUCACCAUCUCCCAGGGUUAAUUUUGGACAUUAAUGCCUGCAUUGUUUCAAAAAGGAUUUAACUUUUCCAGAAUUGUACAAAAGUACUAUGUAAUCGCAAUUCUUAAAAAUAUAAAUUUUGAUUGAAUGGUUGAGAGAAUCGUAGUCAAAGAAAAAGAUGUUUGACUCUCCAAAUAUUAUGGUCAGUUAGGAUUCAUAUAGCCAAGUCCAACUUGUUCGGGACUGCGGUGCAGUUUGUUUAUUGACUCCCCGAAUAUUAAUGGUCAAUUGUGCCAGAGGGAGUAUAAAUUUUUGUACAUCAGAUCGCAAAUUAUAUUUCCUCGAUUACUGUAAUUCAUACAUCUGUUGACAAUUUAAAGUCUUUAGUCAAAGAAAGGAUGUUUGACUCUCAAAAUAUUAUGGUCAGUAAGGAUUCGUAUAGCCAAUUCCAACUCUUUUUGAGAUUACAUGCAUAUAUUUCUUACUUUUUUUUGCUGUAUUUAUACCUAGAUCUGCUCCAACAUUUGUAUAUAUUUAUUGAGUUUUAGGGUUAAGGUCUGCGUACCGAGGCUCUAUCGGAAACAGCCUCCAAUACAACCUCUCUACUUUGUAGGGUUAAGGUCUGCGCACGCGCUCCCCUCCCCAGAUUGCACUUGUGGAACCACCACCCUCCCAAGACCCCAUUUGUGGGAUAACACUGUAUGUUGUUGUUGAGUUUUUCUUAUCUACUGUCUUAACGUAACUGGUCUUGUUCUCCUUUUUUGUUGGUAUGUGCUACAAUGGCAAGUGGGAAAGACUUUAUUGUAAAGUUCGAAGUGGAGUAUUCAUUUUUAUUGUUUUGAAUUGCUUUGAAAUCAUUUUAGGCAAAAUGCUUGAUUGAAUUAUCUCACGAUUAAUCAUAGGCGAAUAAGAUGUUAAAAAGUGUCUUUUUCUUUUGUUGACUGAGCUAAGUCUAUCAGGUCUGAUUCCUUCAAUCCAGCAUUUUGGGAUGGACAAAAACUUCUGUUUAAUAGUUUCAUCACAUCGCUACUGUUUGAUACCCAGUUUUGGGUAAUGCUGCUUGUUACCCAGUGAUUGUUGACUUAGUGAAUAUUGUUCAAAUUUAUUUCCAGAUGACAACUGCAAUCUCCAUUGAAGAUGUACGCAGAGAGGUGAAGAUAUUGAAGGCUCUAUCAGGCCAUAAGCAUCUCGUGAAAUUUUACGAUGCUUGUGAGGAUACUAAUAAUGUGUACAUAGCAAUGGAGUAUGUGCUUUAUUUUCCAUUUGAUUGUGGCAGUUAUAAUAUUUUUCGUUUCACUUCUCAUAAUCAUUUUUUAGUAACCAAUGCCAAAUCUGGAAUUCUUUCAAGGUCUGCCAGCAUUUUGAUUUAGUAAUGAGCAGAUAAUAUUCUCCUCCCACUAUAUAGCUUUGUUCCUUAUGGUCUUUUUAACUUUUUGAAUAUGCAGGUUGUGUGAAGGAGGAGAAUUACUUGACAGAAUAUUGUCAAGGUAAAUGGAAUGCUCUUCAUAAAAUACAUAACCUUCUUUUAGUGCUUGUAGUUUGUAUUUCAAUGUUCUAUGUUUCUAUGCAGAGGCGGUAAAUACUCAGAGGAUGAUGCCAAACUAAUUAUUCUUCAAAUUCUAAAUGUAGUUGCAUUUUGCCAUCUCCAAGGUGUGGUCCACCGUGAUCUAAAGCCCGAGGUUUGUAGGAGUUAUUUUGUUCUCUAGGAAGACUGUAAUUGCUUUCUGUUUCCUUGUGGUAUUGUAGUUAACAGAUCCUUUUCAAUUGCUGGCAUCACAGAAUUUCCUUUUUACUUCCCGAAGUGAAGAUGCUGAUAUGAAGCUUAUUGAUUUCGGGCUUUCUGACUUUAUAAGACCAGGUAACUUUAUUAAAACGCUUUCUUAAAAUCUGUAUAAGCUACUAUACCCACCAGUCUGAAGCAGGCAGUGAUACUAACACUCAUUUUCUCCGUUGAAAGAAUCUGUUCCAAGUUAUUGAUGCCAUUUUUGCAAUGAGCAGUGGUUGUUACGUGUGAUUUAUGAUUGAAAUUUUAACAUGCUUGGAGGAUUGAAAGGACACAUUAUUGCCUCUGGGUCAUGUGGGUCAACUAGGCUUCUGUAUGCUAUGUAUGUUUGAUGAUUUCUACUAGUUUACCUAGUUAAGUAUGGCUUUGAAAUCACACAAGUCAGUAGCACUUGACAUUUGUGGAGGCAAUUCAAACAGCUAACUGCAACUAGUUUGGCAUUGAGCCACGGCUAUAGUAGUUCUUUUUUCACUAUAAGUUAAAGAAACUCUUUUUGCCUCAACUAUAGAUUGGUUGGUUACCCACAGACCUUUUAACUCCCUUUUUUUAGUAUGUGGUUAAUCUAGAAGUUUUCAUAGUCCGUAUUAUUUUCAAUGGACCCAUGCUUUGAUCAACCCAGAAGUUUAUUUUUAUUUGACCUCCUCUAUAUUUGGGGUUUUGCAGAAGAAAGACUUAAUGAUAUUGUCGGAAGCGCAUACUAUGUGGCACCAGAAGUUCUCCACAGGUCUUACAGUUUGGAAGCGGAUAUAUGGAGUAUUGGGGUGAUUACCUACAUUUUGUUAUGUGGAAGCAGACCGUUCUGGGCAAGGACUGAGUCUGGGAUUUUUCGCGCAGUAUUGAGAGCUGACCCUAACUUUGAAGACUUACCUUGGCCUUCUGUGACCCCUGAGGCCAAGGACUUCGUAAAGAGGCUUUUAAACAAAGACUAUCGUAAGAGGAUGACUGCUGCUCAAGCUUUGAGUAAGUUUAUCACUCCUUCACAAUGUGUUUAGAGGCAACCAUUAUCACUUCUCAGCUUGUUAGUUUUCUUCAUGAAAGUUUCAACCUGGUUUUAGGUCAGCUUGACCGAAUCAAAUGGUUAGCACUGUACAAUGCGUUUAGAGGCAACCAUUGUCUAUAUAGGGGAUUGGAUCAGAUAAAUUAUACUCCUAACACUAUAUGCCUGAUUUAUGAUGUACCUUUUAAUUUCAAUUCCAUAGGAUGGUCAUGAUGAUAUAUGGUGAAAAACUUUUCUUCAGGUGUGCUUGCUGUAUGUUUUAAGCUGUUUCCAAACUGAAAGUGUGGUGGGGGUGUCGGUGGAAGUGGUGCUAUUAUUUCUUACUUUUAUUAUUUUUGCCUACUACAUAUUUUAUCGAAAUUUUCAUGGGCAUUUGUUAUGCCCAUGCGCACAGUUUCUUUGUAAUAUAAAAUAAUACCAUUUUUUUCCAAUUACAGCGCAUCCAUGGUUGCGCAGUGAAAGCCAUCCUAUUCCUUUGGAUAUAUUGGUCUAUAAGUUGGUGAAGUCAUAUCUGCAUGCUACACCUCUCAAACGGGCAGCACUAAAGGUAUGAUGUUUUCUUUUUCUCUGUUUUUCCUUGCCCUCGUUUGACUGUUAUAGCAUGGCAGCUAUUAAUUGCAAACGCAUCUUGUAAUUGAACUCUAUUCUUGAAUGAAGAAAAUAGAGGUAUUCAUCUGGAACUACUGCUAGAAUAAUUUUGACCGAAUAUAGAAGAUUUUUGUUUUGUGGGAGUCAGGUUUAGAAGGUCAACUUACUGUGAUUACUGAAACUUUUGGUAGUCCAGGAGAGCAAACGGAUGACUAAAUGUUAUAGAAAUCAAGGAACUAGGAAGGGGUAAAAUUUAAAGAACUGUGUAGGAGUAGUAGUACAUGUAAAAUGGAAAAUAAAUAAUUAGAAAUUUCAAAAUAAAAAUAAUGUAUUUGUAAAAUCAAAUCAGAUCCUGAAAAAUAUGAUAAUACAGUUGGCAUGAUGGGUCAAACUCUCUCCCUAUUUAUCCAAGUUAUUAUCUUAUAUUACUACACGUUCUACUUUUGGCUCUCAUUCAAACAAGAUAGCUUUCCACCCGCAAGUCUACAGUUAGAUUCACUUCAACAUCUUUCAUCUUCAAGUGUGUCCAACUUUCCUCCUUGUAUAGUAGAUUCCUGUGUUCUAAGCAUCUCGUGAAUAAUAUGAGUGGGUCUUCGUGACAACAUAUAAUAUGUUACCUAUCAACUCUUGCAUUGCUUUUGCUUUAGAGUUUUUCUCAUUAACACUUGAUAGAAAAUGAAGACUCCGUUCUAGCAAUAUGUUUGAUUAUUGCUUAUAGAUUUUGGAUGAAACGGUUUCUUCUCACCUUUAAUCCGUUUCAUGGUUUACCCUGUUAUAAUAAUAAUAAUCUUUCCAGUGAUUUAUGAUAUGGUAGUGUCUUUUAUUUGAUGAAUUUCUUUCUUGUGGUGCUGUUCUUCAUGGUUGGAUUGCUCUUCUGAUGUGCAAAUUUUACUUCGAUGAAAGUAUGAUCAGAAUAUACUUCAGUGUAACAAUAUGCUAAGUUCUGAAAUACUGUUGCGGCUUUAUGCGUUCAGGCUCUUUCUAAAGCUUUGACGGAAGAUGAACUGGUUUACCUAAGAGCUCAAUUUAUGCUUCUGGAACCUAGUGAAGAUGGUCGUGUCUCUCUUGAAAACUUCAGAUUGGUUAGUACUUCUCUGUUCAUCUGUUUCUAAAUAAAUUAAUAGAAUAAGACAUUUAAGACUGAACUAUUCAAACAUGAUAGAAGAAAUGUCAGUUUCUCUUUAGCCAUGACUGUCCAUUGUGAAAUUAGAGUUACAAAGUGCUUUGAAACUGCAGGCUCUUUUAGGAAAUGCUACUGAUGCUAUUAAGGAGUCAAGGGUGCCCGAUAUUCUGAAUGCGGUAAGAUGCAUCUGAUCUUUAAAAUCUGUGAAACGUCAAGUUUAAACUAUUUUCUGCAGUAGAUGUGAGUUUGAUGUAGCCUGGUUUCAUCUCCGAAUAAUGUAGCAUGUGAUCCAGCAAUUUUAUUAUUGAAGUCUAGCUUCCUUAGAUGUCUUUGUCUUCUAACCCAUUCAGAAUGAUUUUUCUUUUGCAAUGCUGAAAUACACACAUACCAUUUACGUCUUCUAUCAUUAUGUGAAGCUUAUUGUCCCUUUUACCUUUCAGAUGGCAACAUUGUCAUACCGGAGGUUGGAUUUUGAAGAGUUUUGUGCGGCUGCAAUCAGCACAUAUCAAUUGGAAGCCCUCGAGGGCUGGGAGCAGAUUGCAUCAGUGGCAUUUGAACAUUUUGAGCAAGAGGGAAAUCGGCAUAUUUCAGUGGAGGAAUUGGCUAGGGUAUCUUUCUAUUACUAUACCUGUUAGUAUUCCUCAGUUCAACAAAUUCUUGUUUGAGAAAAUUCUGAAUUUUGUUCGUAACUGUGCAGGAGUUGAAUGUAGGACCAACUGCUCAUUCCAUUCUCAGAGAUUGGAUAAGAAGUGAUGGGAAACUCAGUUUGCUUGGAUAUACCAAAUUUUUGCAUGGUGUGACUCUUCGGAGUGCACAUAUGAGACAUCAUUAGCAUGCUUAACUUACUCUUUUGGAUAGUGUUUGGCAAAAUGAUAGAAACUGUUGAUUAAAAAAAAAAAAAAGAAAGAAUACAUUGAUGAUAUGAAGAUAUUUUUUCUUACUUUCCUGUUCUCCUUUUCAAGUUGGAUUUGGUGGCAGGCGAGAUCAACAGUGUACGAGUAUAGUUUAGCAGAAUUGCAAGUCAUCCUAAGUCACAGUCGGACGAACCACCUCUGCAAUUAUUACCAUAGCAACUACUACCACCAUCACCACCACCUCAAACACCUCCAACAUUAAAGUGGACAUCUCUGCAAACCACUACCACCAUCAAACACCGUUACAUACCAUGAUGACCUUGGCAAGUUUCCUUAAUUAGUUCAUUGAGGAGUGUGUGGGUCAUGGAAUUCUUUGAUUUGAACUCAGUUUUGUUACUGGCACAGAAACUUUUACAUAAGUCGAGGCGUAGACGACUGCACCUUAUGUAUGGGAGUAUGUAAUUUUGCAUGAGUUGCAUCAGCAUACUUAACAGUCUGCGCAAAAAAGAAAAGGAGCACAGUGUGAUGUGGAAAAUCAGAAUUUCUGACUUCAUGUUUCCUGUAAUAUACUCUUUUCUUUCUUUCUAGUGAUAAUAUCUGCAGGAAUACUAAUCCCGAGAUAAGAGAUUCGCACCAUUAUCAUGUUGUUUGUUGUUAAAUAUUUUAUCUCAAAUGUAAUUAUCAGUACACUAGUAAACUGGUAGUUGUGUAGUGGGCUCUAGAGACAGUUGUGCCCGUAACGUGCUGGUUGAUGAUAGUGAUUGUGCUCUUAGGCUAAAGUUAGAUUGUUGUAUGGUUAUAAGAGAGUGAUUGUGCUCUUAGGCUAAAUUAGAUUGUUGUAUGGUUAUAAGAGAGAAACCUACUUUUAAGUCCCUUAUAUAUCUAAUGAUGACAUUAGGACAUUGUAUUUUUAUUUUUAGCAGCACUUAGGACAUUGUACCAGUGGUUAUGAUUAAUGAAAAAAAUGUUGUUAAUAUGGUACAGACAAACAUAGCUCAAGUAGUUGCUGAAUGGUACUCCCACUGUUUUAGCUUAAUGAUAGUAUGCACUUAAAUUUUUAGUUCUUAAAGGUGACACUUGUAAAUUUGAAAACAAUUAGCUUUAUACAUUUUAUUUUAUCUUCAAUGAGAAAUAUAUGUAACAAUACAAAUGCUAUGAUCUUUUUAAGAUUAUGAAUUCAAAGAAACGACCCACACCAAUUAAAACAAUAGUAUCAUAUAAAUUGAAAAAAAUUUAUUACUAUUUCUCAACUUGUUGUUUUCUUAUUUUUUUUUCGUCAUUUAGUUAUGAAAAAAAUUGAAACUUAAUGCGUUAUGUUACCUUUUAAACACGGCUGUGGCUACCGCUUGCCGUCCACCAAAACCCAAUGGACCCCAUUGAAACAACGACCCUCCUCCUGUUUGCUUUAAAUAUUUCAACAACUUGCUUUGAUUUUUAUUAAAUAAAAUUUGAUUUAAAACACUAAAAAGAGCAAAACAUUUAAGUUCCUAAAAAGAUUGAAGGAGGUCGUUUUCUUGAUGUUUUAUUAAACAUGCCAACAUGCUUCACAUCACUUCUCUAAGUUCUAGCUCAUGUUAGGCAGAAAUGUCUUCAUUUAAGUUGACACUGAUUUAAAAUUAAAAACAGAUUAUUUAAUUUUAUUAUUUUAAAAAAUUUGUAUAGUCCUAUGAAUUUUGACAAUUCUUGAUACCCUACAAAGUCAUUUUCUAGUCGAUACCCCAAAAAUUUGCUUAAUAUAAAUUUGAGGGAGUAUAUUAAAAUCGAAAAAACUAAAUAUAGAAAUAGAUUUUUUAAAAAUAUUUUUUUAAAAAAAAAGAAAAAACAAAUUGUAACGGAACUGGAGGAAGUUCUAGUAUUCUAGUAUCUUCGAUUAACGUCGGGUCGGUAAUAAGUGUGCUGCUUUAAAUUUGGAUGCAUUUGUUUUUUUUCAACUUGACGAUUACGUCCUUCUACAGGAAACGCAUUAUUAUCAAUUUAUUUAAUUUCACAUCAAUCCGUAUCUUUUUGUCAUGAAUUUCAUAUCAAAUUAAACUUUCGGGCAGACGGCUCAAUCAUAUUAAUGAUAUAAGAUAAAAAUUAAAUAGAGACUUUAAAUUUUUCUUAAAAUAUAUUUUUAUCAAUAAAAUCUAUAUUUUAAAUUUUGAGAUGCAAAGUUAUAACUAUUAUAGAUGAUUCUUUUGAUAAUUGUUUUUAUUAAUAUAACUAAUACAUUUAAUUUUUAUUAAGAUAUAAUUUAAAUACAUCAAAAUUCUUCUAAUAAUUAAAAGUAUUUCUUUUUAUAUAAGAAGUUUACUUUUGCUAUAAACAAUAUUUAGUAAUUUUGAAUAAAAAUUUAUAAUUUAUUUGGAAACUUUAGCGAUUUCCUUUUGUUUUUUAACCCUGCUGCGGGAUCUUGGAAUUUAAGACGUUUCUUUUAAAAGAAAAAUAACUACAACAGUUAAAAAUAUCAGCAAUGUAAAACCUUAUUAAAAUCACUAACCAAUCAUAAAAUUCAUUACUUCAUGAAAAGAAUGUUAGAUUCCAACAGGCAGCAUGAAAAUUUUGUGAAAUUAAAAAAAAAAGAGAAGGAGAACAUUGUUAUUAAAAAGAAUAAAGCAGAGAAUAGAAGCAACUAAAAUUCCACUUUACUAAUACUUUCUCGUUUCAAUUUGUAACUUAAGCACAAAAAACUUGAGACAAACAAAUUGAAACGAAGGAUGCUAACAGCAACUUCAGUGACCCCAUAACAAAAACAUCGUAAACAUAAAAUAACUUGUCGUCUUUUAUCACUAAACCGCCCCCACCGAAAGGCAAACAAAAACUACUACACUAAAAACCAAAAAAGCUAAAACCUGUCAUGCCCUAAAACAUGGGACAUGCAGAUGAUGAUGGUGGUGCUGGUGUUUAUCAAUUUUACCUUGAACACAUCGAAACUGUUCAACAUGACAAGGAAUAGUAAUUGUUCCCUUAUGAUGAAAUCCAUACACUUCCUCAGCUUCUUUGAGUAACUGAAUGAAAAGUGGAUGAUUGAAGUAAGAUACUGGAACGAUGAAUCGUUGUUGUUCUUCUUCUGCUUGCCCUACUUUUAUAGCCAAGUAACCUUUUGGUACAUGUACAUCUUUUUUCGAUUGUUUGUUUUUUGCACCUUGAUUGAUGUGGAGGUGUGGAAAGUGUAGUAUACUUUUGAUCUCUCCACCACCCAUCCUGCAAGUUGAAAACAAAUUCUACUAAUAUGCUUAAACAAAAUAAAAAUAAAAAGGAGAGAAAAGGUUUGUUUCAGAGAGAAUUAGGCCAGGGAUUAGCAGAGAUGGCGUGUUUGAAAAGGGCUAAAGAUGAAUAUCUGAGAGACCUUGGGAAGUUAAUCAUGGCUGAAUUUUUUGUGUAACAUAUAGGAGAAAAGAAAAAUAGAAUAGCUACGUAGUUAGGGGGUUUUCUAGACCCACUACAAAACUUAUAUAAUCUCUACUAUUAUUCUGAUUAUUUUAUUUCCUUUUUAAUAUAUUUUAAUAUUUAUUUUUGGUGACGUAGAGGUUUAUUUUAUUAAAUUAAUUUUAUUAAUUAUGUUUUGAAAAUAGUCAUUUAAUGUUAAAGAUAGUAUUAGAAGAAUAUAAUAAAAUAUUUUUAAUUUUGUUAAAAAUAUAAUUAAAUUAAAAUAAAUAUUUUUAAAAAGA